CUUACUUGAACAGGAUCUGUUCUAUAGGCUCGUACCUCUGUAUCCUUGAUUUCUAAGGAGACAGGUGACCAAGUCUGGUGGAUGAACCAUGACUGCAGGACCAGAGCGUGAUUAAUAGCUCCAUGGCCCUUGGACCAUUCGAGCAGUAGAGGAUCGUUCUCAGUCAAGGCCUCUUGGCUGGGGUGGUCCUGCAGUUGUCUGACAGACUCCUCCUCCUCCCCUUUUUUGGACUACUGGCUUCACUUUUUAAUGUAUUGCAGAUCAAUAAUCUAAUGCAUUUUGGUUUCCACCGAUAAGCUUCAUACAAAGGAUAGGUUGGUUUGCUUGAAGAGAAUCAUUUUUAUGAUCAAAUCCGAAUCAUGAAAGAACAUGCUCCAUGAAAAGAUUCAGAAGAAUAAGUGAAUUGGAUAACCCAUUGUUAGUUUUAGACAUUGCUUGACUCUUACUAUAGGAAACUAAUUAAACCAGAAAGAAGUUUCUUAUGUUGUCAAACACAUAGAACUCUGUUGGUCAAACUCAAUAAAGUGUUGUAUAUUAAGCUUCUGCCCCGAGCUAAGCCUAAGUUGGUUUGCUCUGCCAAUUGGCUGGGGUGGUCCUGCACUUGUCUGACAGACUUCCUCCUCCUCCCUCUUAUAAUCCCCCCUUUUUUGGUAACUUUGAGAACGAUAACAGAAUAUUAAUACUAAAUUUGAAGAUACUUUCAUUUUACACUAAUAUAAAAUAUGGAACAUACGGACUACUUCACUAAAACUCAAACAAAGCUAUUCUGUAUUGCAGGACUUAGUGCCCGGGCUUGAACCCCUGAGGUUUAACAAGGAUAUACCAAUUAGUGCUGAUAUGGGAACUUUAAUACAACUUUCAGAGACAAUAUCCAACACAAGAACUGUUUCAGCCAUUAUCUGGAAUUCUGAUAUAAUGGCUCAACCCUCCUCCGCUAGCCUAAUAGAAGCCGACCAAAAUUGUAUUGCAUGGCUGAACCAGCAGGCUCCAAACUCAGUCAUAUAUAUUAGUGUAGGGAGUUUAGCAACCAUGGACCAAAAAGACCUAGCUGAGAUGGCUUGGGGGCUAGCCAGCAGUGACCAGCCAUUUUUGUGGGUUGUUAGACCUCCAUGACUCAGAAGGGUAUGAUUUAUUACCACAAGGUUUUUUAGAAACAAUUGGAGGAAAAGGGUGCAUUGUAAAAUGGGCACCUCAAAGGGAAGUUUUGAAACAUGUUGCAUUUGGGGGGUGGGGGGGUGUUUGGAGCCAUUGCAGUUGGAAUUCGAGUUUGGAAAGUAUUAGUGCAGGGGUUCCAAUUAUUAUUUCAUGUGACCCUUAUUUACUGACAAGGAAUUGAAAGUGUUACAUAAUACUUUAAUUAACAAUGUUUCGAAUUGUACAUAUGUUGGAUCUUCCAUUUAUUUUCCUUUUCACAAAUUUAUUUCCAACUCAAAAACAUUGCCCUUCUCUUCAUUACUCGUGUAUACAAUGUAUAAAACUUUAAUUCAUAAAAAAAAAUUAAAAUUAAAAUACCACAACAAUUCCAAAAUAAAAAUCUCAUUCUAUAUAUCCCCAUUCUAUUCUGUUUGUUUUAAAUUAUUUAUAGUAUUUUAUUCUUAUGUAAUUUAUUUAUCAUUUAUUUUUAUUUUUACGGGAAGGAAUCAUUUUCAGAUAACUACACAAACAUAUUAAGCUGAGUUGAUUUUCCUUCCCCACCUGAAAUCAAAAAGAAAAGGGGUGUCCAAAUGUAAAUUUGUAUAUGAUUAUAUGUUUUGAAAAGAUUUUCCAAUAAAAAAGAUAAAGCUUAAAAGCUAAAUCUCAACUCAUAAAGACAAUUAAGUUGUAAGUCGUCUCUUACAAAAUAAUGUUGCUUUUGAGAUUUGGUGCAGAUUCAGAUGAUAAUAGCAUGCAUGUUUAAUCAUCUUUUCAUCCUCCAAGCAGCUAGAAAUAACCCUUUUACUAAUUGUAGUUCAUAAUUCAGGUACUUUGUACUGCUACUUUAUAAUUUGUCAUUCUUGAGGAAUGAUCAAUGCAUUAAUUCCUAAAUAUAUGAUCAGUAAUAUGGACUACGUUUGUCUCAAUUAAGUAGAGAGUUUGCAUAUUUAUACCUCAACUGAGUUUGCAUAUCUAUGAUCAGUAACGAUCGAAGACGGUUGGGGGAAUUGAUAAAUAUUUUAUAUUUUAAAGGAUAUUUUUGACGGAAUAUCCGUCGUACUUAAAUCCGUCGAAUUUAUGUUAUCCUCGACGGAUAGUCCAUCGAAGAUAAUAUUCAUUCCGUCGAAAAAAAGUUGGCGCUGGCGGGAACAUUGGUGCCAAAAUACUGCUUACAUUUCCGACGGAAUUUCGUCGGAAUUACAUUAGUACUAUUGACGGAAUUGAUGUCGACGGAAAAUUUCAUCGAAAUUAAAUUAUGUUCGACGAAAUUAAAUUAUGUUCGGAUGUCCAAGGAGAUUGUUACAAUGGGUUUGGUUGUGCCUUUUAUGGGGAGUUGGAGGAAAUCAUAGAGUUGUCAUACAAGGGCAUUUACGGGAGUCACAUUAACUUGUUCAAGUGUCGUUGGUUUGAUAUAGAAAAAGGGAUACAUGUCGAUCGGCAUGGAAUCGUGGAUAUUGACCUUCAUAGGUCCACGUACGCCAACGAACUAUUUGUGUUACCAACUCAAACAGUACAAGUAUACUACAUUCCUAGUCCUAUUAGGAAAAGGGAUAGACUGCCUGCAGAUUGGCAAGUUGUAAUUCAUACUCUCGCGCGCAUGCAGUCGUGUACAAUUAGUAGACGGGGAGUUCUACCAAGAGUAGAUGCUUCAUAGACCUACACCAAUAAAUGUGGAGGACGACACUGAAGUAAUACAGUUAGAGGAUGGAGAUGAACCUAAUGAAUAAUUGGAUCCUAAGUCAGUAUACGUGCCAAAUGACAUUGAUACUAAGGAAGAAGAGUUACUGACUGACACUGACACUGAAUCUGAAGAAGAUGAUGGUUAUGAAUCUCCAAACCGUAUACAAGAUGAUUCUGACUAAAAAAAUAGAAUGUAUGUUUAGUAUUACUUGUAGUACAUCCAAUUAUACAUAUACAUGUUUUUCAUAUCAUUGUCGUGGUUAUGUGUCACGCCCCCAAAUCUGGGUCCCUUGAACCUCGAACCUGGUAUGUCAUGGUACUACCUUCAUUCCAAUAUAUAUAACAUUUGUUCAUAAAGAAAUGAACACAACCUGGCUUCUAUACCAAUUAAUACAUUAUUCCCUUCUAUUCCAGAAUAUGUAACCUUUACAAUCGGUUAUUACAUCUGUAGAUCGUUCAUGAUCUAUCUAUACAUCUUAAACUAUAAACAAUAUGUUUCAUAAUGAGAUAUUAACUUGCGAGUAUUCAUUAACUCUCAAUUCAAAAUUUAAAAUAUUCUUUUGUGUAGUGUAUUUCAACUCAACAUCUACAAUAUAUAAUAUUAACGUUCAUCUAGCUUAGUUGAAAACUUCGCAAUCAACUGUUUUGGCAUAACGUUUUACUGUGUAUAAUUACUCUAAAGAAAUUACACCAAUGCGUUAGUGUAUUAUUAAAACACCAACAAUCUUCAAUCACUAUUUCUUUUCGUGAUCCUUCGUCUAUUAUGAAGUCUUUGACGCUCUGUUCAUCUGUUUAUAUCGACUUUUAUCUACUCCCUCUGUCCCAGGAUAAAAGUCCUUAUUACUAUUUUGGGUAGUCCCAUGUUAAAUGUCCACUUUCCUUUAAUAACCAAACUUUUACACAUUUUUUCCUAUUAUGCCCGUAACAUUAAAUAUCUCAUAUUUUUCUUAUUCUAAUUCUCUCUCCAUAUUUAAUGACAUUAUUAUGGAUAAUUUUGUCAUCUUAUUCCUCUUCUUAAUAUGCGUGAAAAGUCCACCAGGACUUUUAUCCUGGGACGGAGGGAGUACAAAAUUUAUUUGCAAGGUUGAGCACGGCGACUCAGAAAGUCCAACAGUUUACACAUUUCAUGCUUCAUAUAGCAUACAAAUUUCAUAUAUUCUCAUGCAUCAAAAAUUUUAGUCAAUGCAUCUACACAUGCUUCAUGCAUCUCUAUAUGCAUCAUACAUUUCAUGAUAUGCAUUUUUAUAUGCAUCAUACUUAUCAUACAAUACAAUAUAAUCUUCAUAUUGUAUAUUUAACCCAUACUUCACAAAUUUCUUGCUUUGCAUUUAGUCACACAACAUUCAUGUACUCAACUAUUUCACAUAAAGAAACAUAUAUCAUUAACUACCAUAAACAUGGUUUAAUACACAUUAUCACAAGGUUAAAUGCAAAGUCGACCACUAAACUUUUGUGAUAUUUGGGUAUUGAGCCCCUUUCUUUCGCUCAACGCAAAUUGAGCCUCUUUCUAUUCAAAAAGUUAGACUUUGAACACCCAGGCGCCACAUGUGCGUUGACCUGUGUGACAGAUCUAACAUGGUAUUUUAUAUUGUAAUUUUACAUGUAAGCGCAUUGAUGACGUGGCUUCCUUUGAUUUUUUUCUAAAAAAUUUGUCUUUGCACAUAUUUGAACCCACAAUCUCAUAUUUGGAACUUUAGUCAUAUGACCACUGGACCAACACAUAUCAACUAUUAAUAUUUUGCAAAAAGUAAUAUUUAUAUCAAAACAUGAGAUUUUUCCCAUAUAUUCCUUUCUUCUCAUUCACUAUAUACCAUUAAUAGUAACUGUUAAUAUUUAUAUUUGUAGAACUAACCAUGUCAACUGUUAUUAUUAUUAUUAUUAUUAUUAUUAUUAUUAUAUGGACGUGGUUCUUAUGUUCUUUUAAUGUACAAAUUUUAUAGUGCAAUUGUCAUGUAUAUUUCUUUAUAAUUAUUUAUUUAUUUAUGUAAUAUAUUUUUAAUUAUUUACAUUCUUCUUCUGCCUUCAAUAUUUUAGCCUAAUCUAUAUAGUCUUAAUUCUCCGUAUAAUUGUUAAAUUGGAAAUUUGGAAACCAUCAUCACAAAUUAAUUACGAAUCCAAUUCAUGAGAUAUAACCCCCUCAGAAAUUAACCAUAACCUAAUUACAAAGAGGUAAACAAAAGAUCAAUCCGUUCAUAAAAUCUUGAUACAUAAGUAUAAUAUAGAUAAAGCCACUAGAUCUGGUUAAAGUUGAACUCAUUGUCUACAAACAAGAAAGUAAUGAUAAGAGGAUAUUGAAAGUUGAACUCAUUGUCUCCCACAUUUGCUAAUGACAUUUAACUUAAUUUUUUAUUCUUGAAACCAUUUUCAUAAUAUAAAGGACUUCUAAAAAAUAUCUCCCUCUCUCUACAGCUCAUAACUGUUAAUAUUUAUAUUUGUAUUACUAAUAAUAAUAAUAACAAUAAUAAUAAUAAUAAUAACAAUAACAAAUUUAAUAAUAAUAAUAAUAAUAAUAAUAAAAUAGUGAUAAUAAUAACAAUAAAAAUAACAAUAGUAAUAAUAAUAACAAUAGUAAUAAUAACAAUAACAAAUUUAAUAAUAAUAAAAAAAUAAAAAUAAUAAUAAUAACAAUAAAAAAAGAAUAGUAAUAAUAAUAACAAUAAAAAAAAAAUAACAACAACAAUAAUAAUAAAAAUAAAAUAAAUAAAAUAAUAAUAAUAAUAAUAAUAAUAGUACUAAUAACAAUAAUAAUAAUAAUAAUAACAAUAACAAUAAAAAUAAUAAUAAUAGUACUAAUAAUAAUAAUAAUAAUAAUAAUAACAAUAACAAUAACAAUAACAAAUUUAAUAAUAAUAAUAAUAAUAAUAAUAAUAAUAAUAAUAAAAAUAAUAAUAAUAAAAAUAAAAAUAAAAAUAAAAAUAAAAAUAAAAUAAAAUAGUAAUAAUAAAAACAAUAACAAUAACAAUAAUAAUAAUAAUAACAAUAAUAAAAAUUAAAAAAAUAAAAAAAUAAAAAAAUUAAAAUAAAAUAAUAAUAAUAAUAAUAAUAACAAUAAUAAUAAUAAUAACAAAUUUUUAUUAUUAUUAUUAUUAUUAUUAUUAUUGUUAUUAGUACUAUUAUUAUAACUUGAAUUUAGCCAUGUAAACUCCUCAACAUUCUGAACCUCUUGUAGCUUUGCCUGGUGGGUUUACCAAAAACCACAUCCUCAUUGCAGCAUAAUUGAGCCUAUCGGUGACAAUGUGGAAAACAUGGUUUGAAGGAUCCUGCAAGGGAUAACACAUUAUGAUAUUAACAAAAAUAAAAUUUCGUUAAAAUUAUUAUUAUUAUUAUUAAAUUUGUUAUUGUUAUUGUUAUUAUUAUUAUUAUUAUUAUUAUUAUUAUUAUUAUUAUUAUUAUUAUUAUUAUUGUUAUUGUUUUUGUUAUUAUUAUUAGUACUACAAAUAUAAAUAUUAACAGUUAUGGUACGUAGUGAAUGAGAAGAAAGGAAUAUAUGGCUAAAGUUAUUAAUUCUUGAUAUAAAUAUUAAUUCUUGCAAAAUAUUAAUAGUUAACAUGUGUUGGUCCAGUGGUCAUAUGACUAAAGUUCCAAAUGUGAGGUUGCGAGUUUAAAUCCAUGUAAAGGCAUUUUUUUUGAAAAAAAUCAAAGGAAGCCAUGUCAGCAAUGCUUACAUGUAAAAUUAUAAUAUAAAAUACCAUGUCAGAUCUGCCACGAGUGCUACGUCAGCAGGUCAACGCACAUGUGGCGCUUGGGGGUUCAAAGUCAAAAUUUUUGAAUAGAAAAGGACUCAGUUUGCGUUGAUCGGAAGAAAGGGGCUCAAUACCCAAAUAUCACAAAAGUUCAGUGGUUGACUUUGCAUUUAACCCCAUUAUCACAUAAGAGCAAGUUACUGAAGAACUUGCCUCAAAGCGUUCCUUGCGCGAUUAGAAAAUUUUUUCCUUCCAUUGACCUACACAAUUAAGUGCGUAUACAAAUACAAUUAGUAACAUAACGACAUUUAUUAGUUAUUUAUGCUAGCUCUACUCUACCUUUCAUUAUUUUCCCUUUUUAAAUCUUGAUACACAAUGCUCAAUCAUGUGUUCAAGUCUUUCUAGGACACUAUAUUAUCCAUUCGGUUAUUACAUUAAACUUCAUUUUACAUCUUAUUACGUUUCCUCUUUCUUUAAUUACACUUAACAUAUAAACUCAAGUUCUGAAGAACUCGCAUGCACCGACGUUUUAUCAUCUACAUCAUCUUCAUUCAUAAUUUACUUCAGAUGAUAACUCACAGCAUCGAUGAACAUCUAUUUGAUUAAGUAAUUAAUUAUCAUCUCGCAACUUAACCUGAUAGUUGCCCUUCGAAAAUAUGUGAUUAAACUUUUCAUUUCGCUGAAAGCCUAAUACUCUCAUUUAAGCCUUCUUAACCAUUUUAUCAUUCAUCUUAAAUUCUUGUCUAAUAUUAGUAAUCAUUUAAUAAUAUUUUAUUCCUUUACUAAUACUAUUAAUCAUUUAAUAAUACUUUAUUUCUUUACUAAUAUUAUUAAUCAUUUAAUAAUAUUUUAAUCACUUUCUAAUGUUAUUAAUCAUUUAAUAAUAUUUUAUCCAUUUAUAAACUUAUAAACAAUUUUAAUUUAAUUGUUUAUCUCUUACUAUUUAAUUCAUUUAACAAACAUAUCAAACUCUUCAUAUAACAUUUUAUCAAAAUAACCAAAUUACCCUUAUAUAGUCUUAAUAUAACAUAUUAAUGAUCAUUAGUCACUAAAAUCAUAUUAACAAAUUUUAGGACUUAAUAUAAUCUAAUUUUCUCAAUUAUUCAUAACUUAAUCAUAAGCAUGAAAAAUAUCAAAUCAUCUUAUUAUUUUUUUUAUCUUUUGGUCACACAUAUAAACAUAUAUUCUAUACACAAAUAUAAUUUUUCUGGAAUUUUUUCAUUUCCUUUAGUAUUUUUCAAAAGUCCGUUUUUAGUUCGUAACUUAAGAAAAUUAUCUACAUCAUUCUCAACUCCAAAAAUUCUCAAAUCUUGGCAGAAUCUUACAUGAACUUCCAGUUUAAAUUUUGUGACCAUCGGAGUUAUAGAACUCCAGUUAUAGCCGUUUUCGUCGAAAACAUCCAAAUAUUGAAAUUGUCAUAACUCGAUCGAUAUAAGUCGGAAUAAGCUCAUAUUUGGAUAUGAGCUACUUUAUAUCAUAUAUUUUCAUGUCAAAAAAGGCAGGAAUUUAUUUCAAUAAUUAAAUUGCCUAAUAUGCCCCUUCAAAUUUUUGGACAGUUUGUUUUUCGAUAUUUCCUGAUUUUGCCUACUUUGCCAAAAACAGUUCAUACAAAAAUCUACAGCACCUUUUUCAGUGAUUCUACUUGGAGAUGUUAGAAGACUCAUAGAUCUAACUCUAGAACUUGACCACACUCAAAAAUUCGAAAUAGAAUGAGAGAUAUGAUUGUUUGAAUUUCAUGCUUCGUUUUCUCGAAAAUCUGAUUUUUUUAACCUUUAUGUUUUGUAAGAAAACUUCUAUGAUCUCUUGAUUAAUCAAACAUUAAUCAACAUAAUACAUCUUAAUACAUCCUAAUACCUCUUAUACUCAUGGAUCCACCAUGAUCCAUGAUCUAUUUCAUCAAACUCCCAUAAACACAAGAUUAACAACUAUAAACAUAGUUUUAGAGUUAGAGUUUAAUACCUUUAGGUUUUUUUUCCUCUUCUUUCAUCUUCUUCUCCUCUCUUCUUUUUCUCCAUCAAUGGCAGCAUUCUCCAUCUUCUUCUCUCUCUAUUUGGUCAGGUAUUCUAGGGAAAAUGAGAGGAAAUAUUUCUCUUUAUUUGCCUUUUCCUUUAGUUAAAAGAAUAAACAUUUAGGAAAGAGAUAGUGGCUAGGAUUAGGUGAGAGUUGGUGAGGAGUGGGUGAGGUUAGGUGGCUGCCCAUGUGAUGGAAUCUCCAGCUAUUUUAAGUCAUGUGGGUCUCAUUUUUAUUUUCUCAUUUUGCGUGGUUAAUCCCGUAUUUGACUUUCGGACCAAAAAAAUCAAAUUUUUGAGUUUAUAGUCGAUUCCUACUAAAUUUGACGCUCCCAACGUCAUGGGCACAUCCAUUUCCUGAAAUUCAUCUCCUAAGUUUAAGUUUGAUUUUUCUCCAUAAAAGUCAAAUGUUGACUUUGACUAAAAAGUCAACCUCGACACAUUUCGUGUUUAGAGUCUAUUCUUACUAAUUUCGACGUUCCAGAUUCAAAUAUCUCGUCCACGUAUGCAAAUUCCACUCCUAACUCUGAUUUUGACUUUUCUUCAUAAAAGUCAACUGUUGACUUUGACAAAAAAAAUCCACCCUGACACAUUUACAUGGCGUUCCGGACGCAACCGAGUAGUUCGUGCUUCAAAAUUCUAUCUCUAACUCAAAUUUUGAGUUUUAACUUGCUUUUAGAAAUUCCUCCCAAGUUUGGGCUAUCCAAUAAAUUGUUUGGGACAUGUCUCAUAAAUUUUACAUUUCCUUAAUUAUUCAAUUAGGGUUUUUAGUCCACUUACUUUGGACUUUAAAUAAUUACUCCUUCAAUCAUGCACAUCCUCUUCAUUAGUCAUAAGUAUUCACUUCAUUGAUAAAUAAUUAAUAUUCUUUUAUAUUAGGCUAGACAUUUAAUUCAACGUCUAUUAAAACAUCUUUAAUUAGUUUGCUACAUUCAAUAAGCCUUUUCAAAUGGCUUGACAUAAUGAAUUUUAUUAAUCCAACUUUUCAAUAUCUUUUGGUCAUAUUCUUAAAUUUAGAAUAUCAUAUUAAUAAUGUAUGUCAUCCUUACAAGUCCUCUUAAUAAUCAAAUAUUUAGGCUUGUUUACUUUGAUCAUAUAGUUUGCCAUAUAUAUUAUUUUGACUUGUCAUAUUCUUAAUCCCUUAAUAAUAUCUUACUCUUCAACUUUUCUAUCGUUUCUAUUUAAUUCUCUUUACAGUCUUUCAGAUAUUAAAGCAUAUAGGUUUUUCUUAAAAAAAAUAAUCAUUCCUCUACUUUCAAUGUAGUUUUUAUUCUUUAAACCUUUAUUUAUUUAUUCGAGAUCUUAUUUAUAAGUCUCAUAAAUUUUUGAGUUAUCACAUUAUGCAUCUUUCAUUUAACUUGUACAUAUAUACUUGUACAUUAUGUAUAUUUCAUUUAUUACUAUGUUGUAGUUAACUAUUUCAUACCAUUACAUGUAAUUAUUAUCAUUUUAUUUGUAUAUGUUGUGAUGCCCCCAAAAUAGGUAUAUAACACCCAUUCUAAGUCGCCAAAUACAUGGUACAGAAAGCAAACUACAACUUCAAUAAUACAAUUGUCGUGGAAAAUACGACAACACAUAUUGUGAGUUUAAAUACAAAUAUUGUCUUCUAGACAAUAUCCACACUCAAAUAAGUCAUCGCUACAAUUAUUCAAACACUAUUUUAUAGAAAUAGUGAGGACUGCUAAAACAUCUUUCUAGAACCAUCACUCCGUACCCCGACUAGUUCCUGCUAUGUUCUCACCUCCUGAGAAAAAUGGAACAAAAAGGAAAAGGGUGAGCUCAACUAGCCCAGUAAAGAAUAUUAUGACUAAGAUAAUAUACAACAAAUUAUCGUUAGUCUUCAACAGGGAAAAAUCUGAUAAAAUAUAAUAGCCAACAAGUUUUAGAUCAACAACUGCAGCGGAAACAACAAUCCAUUAGAAGAGUCAAGUAGAGAAUGAGUUCUACUAUCUUCUAAGAUUUAAAAGUCCAUCAUCAAUAUUUUAUCCCUGUAACAACAAUCAAUAUACAUCUUUAAUCAAAUAUUCAUCUUUGCACUACAGGCCAAAGAUAUUCAUUUGUAUCACCAGUUGGUCAUGUUCAUCUCAACACCUGUUCAUCUUUGCACUACGGGCCAAAGAUAUUCAUCAGUUAAUCAUUUAUCUUUGCACUACAGGCCGAAGAUAUUUAGUAAUAUCAUCAUUUAGGACUGAGGAUGAUGAAAAAUAUUUUAAAGAAAACGAAUCCAGUGAAACGGAAGGACAAAUAGUAGGGAUUCGUAUAACAGUUUAUCCAAGAUCAAUAAUACUUCAUAAAUACCAAUUUUGAAGCAGAAUUCAAAAAUAAAGAUCAAAACAUGGAUACAAUCAAAGAUAGUAACCAUAAUAGACAUCUUGGACAAAAAGAAGAAAAUUUCAUUUUUCGGUGAAUAGUGCCGUAUUCGUGAAUAGUGCCGUAUACGUGAAUAGUGCCGUAUACGUGAAUAGUAACCCCGACACAAAAAGUUCCAAAUUUGAUAAAAAUUCAGAUCAAUACUUCGGCAUAAUGAUAUUGAAGAAAUAAUAUCAUAUAUGAAGAAAAUAACAUCCCUUACCUCAAAAUAUCAGUACUUCUGAUCGGAAUAUCGGUAUAAGGCUGAAGGAAACUUGCACUGAUGAAUAGAAACUCACAAAGUAUCUAAAUACUCACAAAAUACACUCAAUAAUCUAGAGAGAGAAAGAGAGAAAACUUGUUUCUGGUGUGAUUUUCAAUUCUAACUUAGCCCUCUAUUUAUAGGAAAAUGUUAGCAGACUUGACCUGCAACCUGAUGGCUUUACCUGCUACUAUUCCCACCCACCACAUUUGAAAUAAAUUCAGCACAUUUCUUCACCAACCACAAGUGGGGCCCACUCAAUUCUAGAAUUUUCCACCAAAAUCAUUUAUAAACCUAAUUUCUGAAUCAGUCACCUCUUAAAAUUCAUAACAAAUCAUACGUUCAUUUUUAACGGUUCAAAAUUUGUGGACAUAUACUCAACUUAUAUAUGUAUAACAUAUCCAAAAAUUACAACGAUCCAACGGUCGGAUUAAAAAUUAUAACUCACACAAUAUAUCUCAAAAACACUGGUUUAAUUUUUAAUACCUUCAUUCCGACAAAAAUACUGAUAAAACACCUCAACAUUAACUCCUUCAUUUUUAACCACAAUAAAUAUAUCCAACAUUUAUAUCCACAUAAAAUAAAUAUUUCCUUAUCAUAUGAAUCAAUAAUUAAUUAUUCACAAAUAAUAUUACAGAAUCACAUUUAUGACAACCAGGCCGUUCCCAGGAAAGAGGGGGCUUUCCAAUAAGAAUUUCUCCUUAUUGGCGCGCAAUUAGGUGACCAAACCUCUCCUUGACAGAACUUUCUAGACAUUGCCAAUAAUGCUAUCUAAUAAUAUUAUUCAAAUAAUAUGAAUUAUUGAUCUGAUAAUGGGAAAUACUGUGCAGUGACAAUUAUUGAAACAACAAUAAUAUAAAAUAUCAACGCAGCAAUUAUUGAAUCAAUAAAAUAAAAUAUUGAACAGUAACUACUGUAACAAUUAUUGAGUAGUGCCUUCUUACGUAAGGAUCAAUAAUUCAUCAAUACUGUGCAUCCACGCGUAUUACUGUAUUUUAACCACCGGGUAUUCCAACAGUGUUAACGGUAACAACUACGCCGUUAUUUAUAAAAACUCAAACUUGUCGUUUUCUUCAUCCGACAGUUAUUCUGUUAUGGGGCCCACAAAUGACUGCGCCGUCGUACGAAUAUUCCCCGACAACAAGAAUAUUCCACGACCAAACGAAUAUUCCCCAACACAAUGAUUAUUUUAUAACCACUUGCAUAUUUUGUAAAAUUUGCACAUUUCACCCAUAACCAGAGAAUUAUAUCAAAUUAAUACCUUAUUAUUCACAAAUAUAAUUAAAGAAAAUUCAAUUUUAUUUAUAAUAAGUUGGGGUCUUACAUAUGUACUCAAAUAUAUCACCGUAUUAACAUCAUGAAAUUUAUUUUUACAGAUGACUUUUGAACCAGCUGCAAGAAAGUGCGGCUUGGGUAGGGGUCCUAAUCACGUGCCGAAGGCCCCGACAAAUCUAGAUGAGCAGAUUCUUAUACAUAUCCGUCCUCCUCCAGACAACAUGUAUGUUAAAUAUUUAUAUGUCAACAUUUUAUAUUUCAAUUGUUUAAGAUAUAUACAAGAUAUAUACUAAUGUAACUUGCUUAAAAUAUUAUAAUCAAAUGUCUGUAUUUAAUGUAAAUUGGUGUAUAUUGUAAUGACUUUUGUGAUGAAAAAAUUGUGAAGUGCAUUCCACAAUUAUGCUUACAGAACUGGCCUACGCCAGUGAUUACGUGGGCGAGCACACCUAGCGCCCACGAGGAUGUUGUUUGGGCUGAAUUUCAGAUAUACUUUUUUGUUAAUGAUGAUCACAAUAUAAUUAAUAAAUUUUUAUUGAUCAGUAGUGUUCGAUUAUGUUAAUAUCAUCGUUUUAAUAUUAUUAAUGCUUGUUUUAUUUGCAGAAGAGAUAUAGAUGGGACGACGCAUAUGCAUCUGUUAUUCAGACACUAUUCAAGCAGAAGUGCGUCGUCCGAACCAAAGACAAUCUAAAUAAUGAAAGACAAAAAGUCCUUCAUAAUGCAGGGAUUGACCAUCCAGGACAGGGUGAGGAGUACAUGCAUGAGCAUAGCCCCUGGUGGUGCACACAAAACAUAUGGGAUGAUAUGUGUGCCCAGUGGAGAGCUGAGGGCUGGGUCAAGAGACGGAAGACUGCCUCCGCGAACAGAUCCUCAGGUGUACCUACGGGCGAAAAUACAAAAAGGACUAUAAGGGCGACAAUAUAUCACAGGUGCAGCACAUUACUGCCAGGGUACGUAUUAAGUAUAAAGUUUCAGUUUUAGUUUUAGUACAUCACACAUGUUUACUUGUUAAUAUAUGAGCAUAUUAAUUUUGUAGGAGGUAUCAUCUCAGGGUCAGCCCAUCCAUUGGCUGGAUGUAUAUGUGGCCACCCGCGAUGGUUUGCCUGAGGCUAUCCACAUAGCUGUAUACUUUGAUAUGUUUAUAAAUAUUUACGUCAUUCUAAAACAUUUUAUAUUUAUUGUUAACUAUUUAAUUUCUAACCUGCUGACAUGACACUUAUAAGAACCUACUGAAUGAGAGUUAUCCUGAAGGCACCCCGCGAUCGCCGAUUGAUCAAGAAUUGUGGGAGAGGGUGUCGGUUGUGAAGAAAAAUUAUGUCAACGGCCAAGGACAACGACAACGACGACCGACUACCAAUGGCACUGACAGCUCUGCUAGUCGGUCUACUCAAUCCUCCUGCCAUCUGACGCUGCACACUCCUGCUGACUGUGUGAGAGCAAUAUGUCAGGAUCAGACUCUUCUACUCACACUUGGUGUGCAUCUACAGUCCUGCCUCCUGAGGAGUUAGCAGAUGUAGUGGCGAGAGCAACACAUCAUCAGGAUGAGCCCGAUAUAAUCUUAUGUACUUUAUGUACUUUAGCUUUAUGUAUUACUUUGCAUGUUUAACUUUACAUUCAAUAAUACAUGUUUUAUUCUUUUGUUACAACCCUAUCUAGACGAUAUUGAUAUGUGAAGGCAUUUGUAUUCCUUCUUUGUCUUGUUAAUUGACAUUUGAGUAUACAUUAAUUUUAUCCACUGAAUAAUUAAAUUCAUGUUUAUAUUGUACGUUUUGACAUUUGUAUAUAAAUGUUACUCGGACGGUACUUAUUUAUAUAUAUGAGCACAGUAUAUGUGGAUGUUUAUAUUACUGUAUUGGUUUUAUUAGAUUGUAUAUAACCAUCAAUAUAUAUAUAUAUAUAUCGAUGGAUUUGUAUGGAUGUUGGUUUAUUUAUAUAUAUUGAUGUGUGUUGGGAUAUAAAACAGGUACAAAAUAUAAAAAAACUGAGAAAUCAAAAAAAUAGCCAAAAAAAAUUUUAAAAAUUAAUAAUCAACUCCGCGAUGCCAUCGGUCACUAUUAUGCGGACGCUGAGAAUACGGUCGCUGAUGUCCGCUCAACGACCAUAUUAUGUGCGACCUACAUUAGCGACCGCUUUCGGUCGCUGAUGGCUAUUGGCGACCGUACGCGGUCCUUACACUGUAAGGCGAUCGCAGAAGAGCCUUUUUCUUGUAGUGUUAGCCCAUAUAUACCCACCUAUAACUAUAAUGGCAACUACAAGAAACACAAAAGUAAUUGAAGACUGCCUCUUUUCUGGUGCACCCGUUUUCUUUAAUGAUGAUGAUGAUUUGCAGUUGUUGGAAUAUAUAAACCAAUCUGUAUAUAACUAUUUUUAUUAUUUACUUUUGCGAUGAUCUUGCCUUUCUUUGGUGUUUUUAAUAGUUUGUUUGAUGAUUUGACCAACUGGAUCAAUUAUCCAUUCUUGUUGAAAUGGAAGAAAUAAAAGCUAAAAGGGAACUCCUUUUGGAGCAUGUCACUUGGGAACUUUUCUAUUUUGCGUUCCUGCUAGACUUAGAAUAAACCUCUAGAUUUGUUAGCAUAUGAAUGCGGUCUUCGGGUGGUUGCUUAAGAUAGUUAAAGCAUAUUGUGGGCGGUAAAAAAAGGGUCAAAAUCGAUGGUUAAAGUGCCAUAAAAUGGCAAUAUUUGUACUGCUCAUUCAGCAAAUCCACAAAUCUGAUUAAUUUAAAAUAAUUGAAUGAAUGAAUGAAUUUAAUAAUUCUGUCAAGUGAUAUACAAAUUAUGUUAGUGGUACACAUAUAUACAAGAAACACUCCACAAAGAAUAUUUCAACAAAAAAUAAACUAAAAGUAUGAUCAGAAUAGUUUGUUGCCAAACUCCUCAGUGUCCUGCCCCUUAGCCGCAAGAUCACUUAGCUCCGAAAGGCUCCUUCCAAGCUGCAAAGCCACCUUCAUCUCAAACAACUCUCCAUUUUCUCGUCUUUCGACAUUUUCUUCCUUCAAAUUUGAUUCAAUAGUCUCCUCCAUUAGCCUAAAAAAACCCGCAUUGCCCCGGUACAACUCAACCACCAUCCCAACCUGCCCACCAUGCUCCAUUGUGUUAACCACACUUGCCAAAGCACCUGCAGCCACUCCGACCACCGCUGCCCAAGAACCAUGACAAUUAGACCCAACAAAAGCACUCCCAAUAGCUGCUAGGCACGUUAACAAAGGCCCAGAUAUCGCCAACACUUUGUUAACUUUCAAGGCCUUUUGACCCAACCUCAAAUAAUCAGUCUUAUCAUUUUUUCCCAAAACCCCAACAAUUUCCCUCAUUUCCUCCUCCAAAUUCUCACUCCAUCCAUUCCCACUUCUUCCACCCCCAACCCCAUUCGCCUGUCUACGUUUCAAUGGAGCCCACCACACCGCGGGCUCCACUGCAGUCGGGAAUUUCUCGAGCAUAGCGCCAAGCAGGGGAAGUGGGAGAGCCCUGUCAAGAGCCAACACUUUCUCCAUUGCCUCCUCCACGUCACUCAUUGUGGGACAACCAAUAGCUAUCAAUGUUUGGAUUUGAGAAUGAAGCUGUUUAAACAAUCUGGUAGCGUUUCUUUGCUCUUCAGCCAAUUGGGAUGGUUGGAUUUUGUUCAUAAUUAUUAACAUCCCCGUGACACCUAAAUACAUUAAACUAGAACUGAGCUUUAGUCCCAAAACCGGAGACCCAACAGCACUUGUAGCUGCAAUACCAGCAAUUGUUGCAGCAGCGAGUGUAAUUGCAUUUAUGGAUGUUAAAAGAAGACUAUUCCAGUUAUUUCUCUGCUCGCAUAUAUUCGUAUGCAUCUCGAUUCUAUCCGCAACAGCCUCCAUUAUCGCGUAGAGCUUCGCCAUCACCAUUGGAUCAUCAGAUACGUUAGUAUCCGGAGCUCUAAAAUUUUUGGAUGUAUGUUUUGUAGUAUUGUGACCACUUUUUAGCACCAGUUCUUGAACAAAAUCACUAGGAAUUGGUAGCUUUGGAAGAGAGAGAUUAGGCGUUCGCAGUUUCGGAAUAUUGAUUGUAGCCAUUGAGAUUCCUCUGUUGCUGCCAGAUGAACAAAGGAAGCUUGAAGCUUGAAGGGUUGCCAUAUGUAUAUAUGUAAAUGUUUUUAUGGUCUUUUUGAUUUUUUUAUGGUGCUUUAUAUGGUUCUCGGUAUGUAUAUUGAAGAGAAAAUAUGAUUGAUGUGUUAUUUGGCAAAAAAUAAAAUAAAAAUGAGGUUGAUAUGAAUGAAUGUAUUAGAUGGUUUGGUUGAGAUGGGAUUUAUACAUGUAUAUAUAGGAGGGAUUUGAGAGUUGACUACUAAAUUCUAUAUGGCAUCAGGCUGAAGUGGUCAAGUGUUGAAGGUUUGAAUGUAUGGGGUCUAUUUUUUAUAUUUAUUUGUUUUUAUUCAUAAUAAUAAGAUAUGAGGGUCCUUCAAUACUUACAUUUUACGUAUACGCCUUUAGGUUUAAUAAAUAUUUUUAUGUAUUGGACUCUUUCAAUUCUCAGUCAUAUUCCAAGACAUUGACUUCUCCCACGAGGGAUAUCAGCUAUAAAAAAAUAUUGAAUAUUUACACGCAUAUGUAUAAUUAAAUCCAUAUUCACACUUUUAUAUCAGCUAUAAAAAAAUAAUUUACACGCAUAUGUGAUAUGUAUAUAAUUAAAUCAUACACUCACUACCUUCACUUAAAAAUUUCUCAUAGUUGUUUUUAAUUUUUUUUAAGAGAUAUUAUGAUCUGCAUAGAGCCAUGGGCGGAACCAAGGCCCUGCCAAAAUUCUGUACAGUCUAUAUAUUAAUACAUAUAUUAAUAGUCAAUAACAUACAUAUAUUAAUAGUUAAUAUAAAUAAAUAUAUAUACACACAUAUAUAUACAUAUAUAUGGGAAAAAUGUAUGUACACAUCUGUGUAUUACAUAGUAGGUUAUGGCGACGGUUUUUUGGACUAUAGCGAGCUAUGGCGACAGUUUACCGUCGCCAUAGCCCAAAAAAUCCGUCGCCAUAGCCCUACUGUGUAUUACACAGCUGUGUAUAUACAUAUAGCCUUAUAUAUAUACAUAUAUAUAUAUAUAUAUAUAUAUAUAUAUAUAAUAGUAGUUUAUAAUAGCUGUCAAAAAUUUUCUACAUGCGCUCCAUAAAUUAAAAAUAGAAUAAAUUUUAUUUUACAAUGAAAUUCAAAUAAAAGAAAUUAAAACCCAUCAAAUAUAGGUUGCUACUUGAGGUUGAAGAACGAUCACAAAAACCAAGUUCUUUAUUUAUCAAAUUAUUUUUUACAAAAAUUUUAUAUUUUUAAACAUCAUUAAAUUACUUCAGAAACUCUCCCCUUUGUUGAUUUUUUUCUGGGUUAAUUUUCUUUGUUAUAUAUAGAAAAUUGAUAUUUUCAUAUAAAAAAUAAUAUUUCUACAUGAAUCCCUCUCACGUAUUUCUACAUGAAAAAAAAUUAUAUAUAAAUUUUGAUAUUUACCAAAAUUUUGAGACGUUUUCAAACUACGCAGAGUCGCAUGAUACAUUUACCUCCUCUCAGUCGUACAACCGAAAGAAACAUUCCAAGCGUCAAAAAUAAUUUUUUUUACUGAUUUAUUUUGACUUCCCUUUAAAAACAUUCAGGUUCCGCCACUGCAUAGAGCACAAUUACAUAACUUUUUGCAAUAAAACUUUAAUAAUACAUUUUAAUCUUUAAAAUUUGAUAUUAAAAAAAUUAUGAGUAAAAGGGUAUCUUACACAAAUUUAAAACUCUUUGUUGUGAGCGUAUACUUAGGGGGUGUAUUCAAUUAAGAUUUUUAAAGAUUUUUAAAGAUUUUUAAAGAUUUUAAAAGUUUAGUUGUAUUCAAUCAAGACAUUUAAAGAGUUUAUAAAAGUUUUGUGGUAUUCAAUUACAACUUUUUUAAUGUCUUUAAAAGUUAGGUGGUAUUGAAUUAAGAUUUUUACAAAGUCUAUAAAAGUAUUUUGGUAUUCAAAAAGUCAUAGAUUUUAAAAUUUUCUAUCAAAUGAUAGAGUUUGACAGACUUUAGAAGAAGAAUUAUAACUAUUAACCCAUAUCCAAAGUCUUACCUCAUCUCUAAAGAUUUUUAAAGACUUCCAAAUAAACACAAAGGUGGAUAAAACUAGUUAUUAAUUGGACUUUGUCUUUUAUUGGGUCAACUAGUUUGUGACGCCCCCAAAAUAGGUAUACAACACCCAUUCUGAGUCGCCAAAUACAUGGUACAUUAAGCAAACUACAACUUCAACAAUACAAAUAUCGUGUGAAAUACGACAAUACAUAUUGUGAGUUUAAAUACAAAUAUUAUCUUCUAGACAAUAUCCACACUCAAAUAAGUCCUAAUUACAAUUAUUUAAACACUAUUUUACAGAAAUAGUGAGGACUGCUAAAACAUCUUUCUAGAACCAUUACUCCAUACCCCGACUCGAUCCUGCUAUGUUCUCACCUCCUGAGAAGAAAAAUGGAACAAAAAGGAAAAGGGUGAGCUCAACUAGCCCAUUAAAGAAUAUUAUGACUAAGAUAAUAUACAAUAAAUUAUCAUUAGUCUUCAACAGGAAAAAAUCUGAUAAAAUAUAAUAGACAACAAAUUUUAGAUCAACAACUGCAGCGAAAAUAGCAAUCCAUUAGAAUAAUCAAGUAGAGAAUGAGUUCUACUAUCUUCUAAGAUUUAAAAGUCCAUCAUCAAUAUUUUAUCCCUGUAACAACAAUCAAUAUACAUCUUUAAUCAAAUAUUCAUCUUUGCACUACAGGCCAAAGAUAUUCAUUUGUAUCACCAGUUGGUCAUGUUCAUCUCAACACCUGUUCAUCUUUGCACUACGGGCCAAAGAUAUUCAUCAGUUAAUCAUUCAUCUUUGCACUACAGGCCAAAGAUAUUCAGUAAUAUCAUCAUUUAGGACUGAGGAUGAUGAAAAAUAUUUUAAAGAAAACGAAUCCAGUGAGACAGAAGGACAAAUAUUAGGGAUUCGUAUAACAGUUUAUCCAAGAUCAAUAAUACUUCAUAAUAACCAAUUGUGAAGCAGAAUUCAAAAAUAAAGAUCAAAACAUGGAUACAAUCAAAGAUAGUAACCAUAAUAGACAUCUUGGACAAAAAGAAGAAAAUUUCAUUUUUCGGUGAAUAGUGCCGUAUUCGUGAAUAGUGCCGUAUACGUGAAUAGUAACCCCGACACAAAAAGUUCCAAAUUUGAUAAAAAGUUCAUACCAACAUUUCGGUAUAAUGAUAUUGAAGAAAAUAUCAUUUUAAGAAGAAUAUAACACCCCUUACCUCAAAAUAUCAGUACUUCUGAUCGGAAUAUCGGUAUAAGGCUGAAGGAAACUUGCACUGAUGAAUAGAAACUCACAAAGUAUCUAAAUACUCACAAAAUACACUCAAUAAUCUAGAGAGAGAAAGAGAGAAAACUUGUUUCUGGUGUGAUUUUCAAUUCUAACUUAGCCCUCUAUUUAUAGGAAAAUGUUAGCAGACUUGACCUGCAACCUGAUGGCUUUACCUGCUACUAUUCCCACCCACCACAUUUGAAAUAAAUUCAGCACAUUUCUUCACCAACCACAAGUGGGGCCCACUCAAUUCUAGAAUUUUCCACCAAAAUCAUUUAUAAACCUAAUUUCUGAAUCAGUCACCUCUUAAAAUUCAUAACAAAUCAUACGUUCAUUUUUAACGGUUCAAAAUUUGUGGACAUAUACUCAACUUAUAUAUGUAUAACAUAUCCAAAAAUUACAACGAUCCAACGGUCGGAUUAAAAAUUAUAACUCACACAAUAUAUCUCAAAAACACUGGUUUAAUUUUUAAUACCUUCAUUCCGACAAAAAUACUGAUAAAACACCUCAACAUUAACUCCUUCAUUUUUAACCACAAUAAAUAUAUCCAACAUUUAUAUCCACAUAAAAUAAAUAUUUCCUUAUCAUAUGAAUCAAUAAUUAAUUAUUCACAAAUAAUAUUACAGAAUCACAUUUAUGACAACCAGGCCGUUCCCAGGAAAGAGGGGGCUUUCCAAUAAGAAUUUCUCCUUAUUGGCGCGCAAUUAGGUGACCAAACCUCUCCUUGACAGAACUUUCUAGACAUUGCCAAUAAUGCUAUCUAAUAAUAUUAUUCAAAUAAUAUGAAUUAUUGAUCUGAUAAUGGGAAAUACUGUGCAGUGACAAUUAUUGAAACAACAAUAAUAUAAAAUAUCAACGCAGCAAUUAUUGAAUCAAUAAAAUAAAAUAUUGAACAGUAACUACUGUAACAAUUAUUGAGUAGUGCCUUCUUACGUAAGGAUCAAUAAUUCAUCAAUACUGUGCAUCCACGCGUAUUACUGUAUUUUAACCACCGGGUAUUCCAACAGUGUUAACGGUAACAACUACGCCGUUAUUUAUAAAAACUCAAACUUGUCGUUUUCUUCAUCCGACAGUUAUUCUGUUAUGGGGCCCACAAAUGACUGCGCCGUCGUACGAAUAUUCCCCGACAACAAGAAUAUUCCACGACCAAACGAAUAUUCCCCGACAACAAUGAUUAUUUUAUAACCACUUGCAUAUUUUGCAAAAUUUGCACAUUUCACCCAUAACCAGAGAAUUAUAUCAAAUUAAUACCUUAUUAUUCACAAAUAUAAUUAGAGGAAAUUCGAUUUUAUUUAUAAUAAGUUGGGGUCUUACAACCUCCCCUCCUUAUGAAAUUUCGUCCUCGAAAUUGACAUACGUACCUGGUGUUUCGAAAAGGUGAGGAUACCUCGCUUUCAUUUCUGAUUCCAACUCCCAGGUCAUUUCUUCAAUAGCAUGGUUUCUCCAUAAAACCUUAACUUGUGGUAUAACCUUGGUGCGUAGGACAUGCUCUUUCCUAUCCAAGAUCUUAACAGGUACUUCUUCGUACGUUAAAUCUUCGGCUAUCUCGUCUGGUUCUAACGCAAUAAUAUGGUUCGGGUCUUUCACAUAUUUACGAAGCAUGGAUAUGUGAAAAACAUUAUGAACACGAGACAUACUUGGAGGUAAUGCGAGUCUAUAGGCCACAUUUCCUAUUCGGUCAAGAAUCUCAAAUGGACCAACAAAUCGUGGAUUGAGCUUUCCUCUCUUCCCAAAUCUUGUAACUCCCUUCCAUGGUGCAACACGUAACAAUACAUGAUCCCCAAUAUUAAAUUCCACGUCUUUUCGAUGAAGAUCCGCAUAACUCUUUUGUCGAUCUUGUGCCGUUUGUAUACGUUGUCGAAUCAUUUGGAUCUUUUCUGUAGUCAUGCGUACUAAUUCUGGUCCCAACAACGUUGCUUCUCCCACCUCGUCCCAGCAUACUGGAGAACGACACUUUCGUCCAUACAACGCCUCAAAUGGAGCCAUGCCUAUACUUGCUUGAUAACUGUUGUUGUAGGAGAAUUCCACCAGUGGCAAGUACUUAUCCCAACUUCCUUUAAAAUCUAGGACACAAAGUCUUAAUAGAUCUUCAAGGGUUUGAAUAGUCCUCUCUGAUUGUCCGUCCGUUUGAGGAUGGUAUGCCGAACUGAAUCGUAAAUCCGUGCCCAUAGCUUUCUGCAAGCUAACCCAAAAUCGUGAAGUGAAUCUUGGGUCACGAUCCGAAACUAUGGAUACUGGCAUGCCAUGCAAUCUCACAAUCUCAUUCACGUACAUACGAGCAAGACGUUCAAGGGAAUAAGUCUCACGUAUCGGUAAGAAAUGGGCAGACUUGGUUAAUCUAUCAACAAUAACCCAAAUCGCAUCUAUGCCUUGAGAAACUUUGGGAAGACCUGUAACGAAAUCCAUAGUAAUGUGUUCCCACUUCCAUUUCGGAAUCUCAAGUGGUUGUAAUGGACCCUUUGGCACUUGAUGCUCCGCCUUUACACGUUGACAAGUUAAACACCUCGAGAUAAACUCCGCGAUCUCUCUCUUCAUAUUGUUCCACCAAAAUGUAUGUCGAAUAUCAUGAUACAUUUUGGUACUCCCAGGAUGGAUUGCAAACGGGGUGUUGUGUGCCUCCAUCAUGAUUCUAUGCUUCAAGUCAGAAUCGUUAGGAACACAAAGUCUGGAGUUGAAUCUAAGUAUUCCUUCUUCAUCGAUUCUCGCUUCUGGAAUAGCUCCUUCUUGCACUUUCUUCUUCAUACGUAUCAGCUCCAGGUCCGUAGCUUGAGCAGCUUUAACUUUAUCGAUUAAAGUCGGUUCUACUCGUAUAUUCGCCAUCAUCAUGUGGGUCCCUGGAGUCUUUAAUUCUACCUCCAUCCUUUGCAAGUCAUACAGAAUGGGCCUUUGCAUUAACAAUAUCGCACUCGUACUCGCAUAUGAUCUUCUACUCAAUGCGUCAGCUACUACGUUCGCUUUUCCAGGAUGAUAUUGAAUAGUGUGAUCGUAAUCUUUCAAUAGUUCAAGCCAACGUCGUUGCCGCAUGUUGAGUUCUUUUUGGGUGAAGAAAUAUUUGAGGCUUUUAUGGUCCGUAUAAAUCUCCACUUUCUCCCCAUACAAGUAGUGUCUCCAAAUUUUCAACGCGAAUACGACUGCUGCCAACUCUAGAUCAUGAGUAGGAUAAUUCCUCUCAUAUUCUUUGAGUUGUCGUGAGGCAUAGGCUAUGACUUUCCCAUGUUGCAUGAGAACGCAUCCUAACCCUUUGCCUGAAGCAUCGCUGUAUAUAACAAAUCCAUCCGUACCAGAUGGUAUUGCCAGAACAGGUGCCGAAAUGAGUCUCCUCUUGAGCUCUUGGAAACUCUUCUCGCAUUCCUCGCUCCAUACAAAUUUUGUAUCUUUCCGAGUCAACUGAGUUAACGGAGUAGCGAUUCGAGAAAAUCCUUCCACGAAUCUCCGAUAAUAACCAGCUAAGCCCAGAAAGCUACGCACUUCGGUCACCGACUUUGGUUGCUCCCAACUUUGUACUGCUUCAAUCUUCGCCGGGUCGACAGAUACUCCAUGUUUUGACACCACGUGCCCAAGGAAUGCUACUUCCUCAAGCCAGAACUCGCAUUUCUUCAGCUUGGCAUAAAGUUUGUUUUCACGAAGCCUUUCAAGUAUCAGCUUCAAAUGGUGCUCAUGAUCUUCACGGCUUUUGGAAUAGAUGAGGAUGUCAUCAAUAAAGACAACAACAAACUGAUCCAAAUAUUCCUUGAAUACACGGUUCAUCAUAUCCAUGAAAGCAGCAGGAGCAUUAGUCAAUCCAAAAGACAUGACUAAGAAUUCAUAAUGCCCGUACCGAGUUCUGAAGGCAGUCUUUGGAAUAUCCUCAGUUUUAAUCUUCAGCUGAUGAUAUCCAGAACGAAGAUCGAUCUUUGAAAAGAAUUGUGCUCCUUGCAACUGGUCGAACAGGUCAUCAAUGCGAGGUAGCGGAUACCUAUUCUUGAUGGUGACAUGGUUUAAUUCUCGGUAGUCAAUACAAAGUCGCAUACUCCCGUCUUUCUUCUUUACGAAUAAAACAGGAGCACCCCAAGGAGAUGUACUAGGACGAAUGAAACCGAUGUCUAACAAUUCCUGUAGUUGGACUUUUAACUCCUGAAGUUCAAUAGGAGCCAUUCGAUAUGGGGUUUUAGAAAUGGGUUUUGUACCCGGUUCAAGGUCAAUAAAGAAUUCAACAUCACGUUCUGGGGGUAGACCGGGAAGCUCUUCAGGAAAUACAUCAGGAAAUUCUCUAAUAACAGAAAUAUUAUUCAAAUCUGAAAUGUCUAUUCUCAAAUCCAUAACAUGGGCUAAGAAAGCUUGACAUCCGUUUUUCAAUAAACGAAUAGCUUUGUGGCUUGAUAUGACAGUGACUGAUUUUAGUGGUUUAGUGGUUUGAAUUCGUAUGACAGGUUGGUUAGGAAUAUGAAAACUAACAACCUUACGAAAACAAUCAAUUUUGGCAUGAUGAGUGGUUAACCAAUCAAUUCCUAAAAUCACAUCAAAAGCAAGUAUCUUUAAAGAGAUAAGAUCAACAGGUAAUGUGAUAGUGCCAACUUGGAUCAUGCAAGAUUUAUAAACUGUAGAUGUAACGAAGGUUUCACCCAACGGAGUUUCAACAGAUAAAUCAAAAUCUAAUUUCUCCGGAGUCAAGUUUAAACGUUGAGCACAAGCAGGAGAGAUAAAAGAAUGGGUAGAACCGGUAUCUAGUAAGGUAUAAACUUCGCAAGAAUUCAAGAUUAGCUUACCCGUAAUCACCUCGUUCUGGUUCCUCGCGUUUUGGCCAGUCACGACAAACGCUCUUCCAGGAACCGCUGAUUUCGACUUAUCCGGGACAACCCUUGGUAUCACCAUCCCCGCUGAACUUGGUUUCGCUAUAGUACAAUCUCGAAAGAUAUGUCCUUCAUUUCCACAAUUAUAACAUACCUUGGAUUGUUGUGGGCAGUUUGGGCUGAUAUGUCCCUCUUUCCCGCAUUUGUAACAUCUAACUGGCGGUCGUUCUCCUCCCCUAGAAUUUGUUCUUGGUGCUGGUGCUGCAGUUGAUGUCUUCCCGUCAUUGUUGAAUCUCCUCUUUCUGAAAUUUCCACUUGACUCACCUCUCCUAUUAUCAUGGCCACGAUGACCACCCGAGUGGUUACCGUCUUUGUUCGUAUUUUUCCCUCCUCGUUUGUUAUCAUCGCUCUGAUGACUGCUGUCACCGGAAUGACCCUGGUUGUGGUCCCUCGGUUGCACAUACUCAUUAUCUCGCUCUAAUAAUUGAGCCCUGUUUACAACAUCUGAAUAUAAAGAAAAUUUAUGAGAUAUAAGAUAUUGUCGAAUCUCGGGCUUUAGACCUCUCAGAAAAAUCCUUGUCAUUCGUUCCUCAUUUUCGACCAAAUGAGGUGCAAACCUGGAUAACUCUGCAAACUUCGCCUCGUACUGGGACACCGUCGUGUUGUUUUGUUCCAGUCUGAUAAACUCCACCUUCUUCAUAUGACGAAUACUUUCAGGAAAGUACUUGUCAUUGAAUAGUUUCUGAAAUGUUUCCCAAGACAUGCUGAGUGCGGCUGGCUGGGUACGCUUCACGGAUUCCCACCAGUAGUCUGCCUCACCGCGGAACAUAAAGGUGGCGAAUGGAACCUUCUAUUCCUCCGUGCAUCCCAAGACAUCGAAUAUCUUGUUAAUUUGCUUCACCCACAUUUCCGUCAUGAUCGGAUCCGGCUUUCCCUUAAAUUCUGGUGGUCUUACAAUUGCUUUUUCUCUCACCAAUUCAGAUUAGGUCUAGUUAUUUGUUUACUUAUUAAUAUAUCUUGUUAAUUGUCUUAUUAUAAUAAAUCCAAUUAUUUUUAUGGCCCAAAUUUUACCAAAUUAUUUAUCCAUCACAUAUUAAUAUUUAUUAGCCCAUAUAAAAUAAAUAACUAUGUAAGACCCCAACUUAUUAUAAAUAAAAUCGAAUUUCCUCUAAUUAUUAUUGUGAAUAAUAAGGUAUUAAUUUGAUAUAAUUCUCUGGUUAUAGGGGAAAUAUGCAAAUUUUGCAAAAUAUGCAAGUGGAUAUAAAAUAAUCAUUGUUGUCGGGGAAUAUUCGUUUGGUCGUGGAAUAUUCUUGUUGUCAGAGAAUAUUCGUACGACGGCGCAGUCAUUUGUGUUUCCUUUUUGUUCUAUUUUUCUUCUCAGGAGGUGAGAACAUAGCAGGAUCGAGUCGGGGUAUGGAGUAAUGGUUCUAGAAAGAUGUUUUAGCAAUUCUCACUAUUUCUGUAAAAUAGUGUUUAAAUAAUUGUAAUGAGGACUUAUUUGAGUGUGGAUAUUGUCUAGAAGACAAUAUUUGUAUUUAAACUCACAAUAUGUAUUGUCGUAUUUCACACGACAUUUGUAUUAUUGAAGUUGUAGUUUGCUUUAUGUACCAUGUAUUUGGCGACUCAGAAUGGGUGUUGUAUACCUAUUUUGGGGGCGUCACAACAAUCGUUCGAAAGCUUCCAAUAGAAAGAGAAAAGAGAUUUGUUCAACAAGUGUGAGAUCAUGAAACUCUCAUAUCAGGUGUUCAGUUGUAAAGAUUAUGUAACUAUAAUAUAUGAAAAUAGAAAAUAUAUGAUGUGUGUGUGUAUUUUUUUUUUUUUUAGUUUUCUGACAUUUUAAACGAAGGAAAUUACUGUUAAUUUUUUAGACUGACAAAAAUAAUAAACAAUAUAUGAUGUGUAUGUAUAUAUGAUGUAUAUAUAUACUGUUUAACAAUAAUAAUAUGAUCCAAAUAGUAUAUACUAUAUAUCAUAUAUUAUGAUCAUUAAACAUUAUAUACUAUAUACAACCUCCGUCCCACAAUAAGUGUUUUUUUAGACUUAAUAUUUUUCCCAAAAUAAGUGACGUGUUAGAACUCCAAUACAAUUUUUGCAAUAUUUCUCAUAUAUGCCCUUAUGCAUUCAAUGGUAUUUAUUGCAUCUUAUCAUCACUACAAUUAAAUGACACUCAUUAACUCUUUAACUUCAAAGAAAAUAUAUUAAGGGUAUUUUUGUAAUUUUAGCUUGUGUAUUGGUAUGUGUUAUUUAAGCUAAAAAAGCACUUAUUAUGGGACGGAUGUAGUAUUAUUUUCACUUUAAACAUUAUAUACUAUACUCACAUGUAUGAAGUUUUGCAACUUUUGAUCAUAUAGAUUUUCAUUGUAAUAUUAUUUUGUGAAAAACAGAGCUUGAUAUUCCUACUAAAAAGCGUACGCAUACGCAUAAAGUAUAUAUAGCUCAAUGAAAAGUGAGCUUAAUUUUUGUAUUGCGUCUGUAGUUUCUAAAGUUUUAUUGGUAUCCAAGUAUCCAAAUGUAUCAUGAAAUGAGUAGAAUAAUAUGAACGCUUUCAACAUAUAUAAAAUCUCAUGCCACAAUAAUAUAAAGAGAUUUACUCUAGUUCAUGAAAAAAGAGAAAGAGGUUGUACACAUGGGUUAAUUAACAAUUAAUAUAAGUUGCAAGAUAUAUUAAAAGGGUUAAAUGAUUUUUCAGUAACUGUACUAAAGGUCGACUUACAUAUAGAUAACUGAACUUUUUUUUUCUUACAGUCAACUCACUGUACUCGACUUUGCUAACAAAAAAUUAAAAAACCCGUUAGAAACUUUGACUUUCAACGGAACGGUACACGUCAGCGGCUGAGUUAUCCGUUACAAAGCUUUUUUUAAUAAAAGCUGCGUUUUUAAUUUUUUGUUAGCAAAGUCGAGUACAGUGAGUUGACUGUAAGAAAAAAAAAGUUCAGUUAUCCAUCUGUAAGUCGACCUAUAGUACAGUUAUUGAAAAAACAUUUAACCUUAUAUUAAAAGUAUACAAAAGUCUAUCACAGUCUUGAUACAAAGUUUAUAAAAGUCUGUUACUUAUUUCAUGGAGUCUAUAAAAGUCAUUUUAAAAAAGUCUUUAAAGUCUUUAAAAGUCAUUAAAAUCUCACAAAUUCUACAAAAGUUUGUCAUUUAAAAAAAGUCUUUAAAAAUCUUAAAUACACCCCCCUUAAUGUUGAGAGAUUUAAAACUAUUUGUUUUAAAAUGGGUUAAAUACAUUUUUCCCACCCUACUAAGGGUCGGUUUACAAAUGCAAUACUGAAUUGAUUUUUUUUACAAUUGACUCAUUGAACUUCAAAUAUUUAUCAAAUCGUUAUAAAUUCCGUUAAAUGAGUUGAUUUUUAACAGAAUAUCCACUUUAGCUUUUAAAUGAACAUUCACAUAGGUGAAGUCUGGGUUAUCAUUCUAGUUGUUGCCAUGUUGGAAAUUAAAUGGAUUUAACUAUUUUUUGCAUAUUAUAAAUUAAAAGAAAAGUUAAAAAAGAAAUCAAUCCCUAAAUUUCUCUAUCCAAAUUCAAACCCCCAUUUCGUUUCUCUCUCCAUUGUCAAAACCCCAUUUCAACUCUCCAAAAUCAAAACUCUCAUUUCAUAUUUCUCUCCAAUUUCAAAACCCCAUUUGAUUCUAUAUCUAUUUGUGGAUAUAUAGAUCUGAGAUGGAGAAAAUUUUUAGCAAUAGUUUUGAAGGUUGUAGAAAUGGAGAAAACCAAUCUACAGAAUAGAUUCAGUUUUGGUUUAGUUGAAGAAUAUAGAAAUCCAAACAAAGGAGAGCGUCGGAGACGCCACCAUGGUCGAGUUCCAUGUCAACGACGAUGAAGUCGUAGCCAGAGAGGCCAACGAUCUCACCAUUUUUGUGGCGGGUUUUGAGAGUUGGUGUGACGCUCCCAAAAUAGGUAUACAUCACCUAUCUUGAGUCGCCAAAUACAUGGUACAAAAUUCAAAUACAACUUAAUUAUACAACAGUCGUGUAAAAUACGACAAAACAUAAUCUAAGAGUUUUAAUAAGAAUAUUAUCAUCUAGACAAUAUCCACACUCAAUAGAGUCCUCAUUACAUUUAUUGUCACACUAUUUUAUAGAAUAGUGAGGACUAUUAAAACAACUAUCUGGACAGUCAAUCCGUUCCCCGACUCGUCCCAGCUAUAUUUUCAUUUCCUGAAGAGAACAGUGAAAGAAAGGGUGAGCUCAACUAGCCCAAUACAAAAUAUAUGACUAAGAUAAUGCAGAAUAAUUUAUCGUUAGCCUUCAACAGUGUUAAACUGAUAAAAUAUAACAAACAUCAAGUUUAACUGCAGUGGAACAAGCAAUCCAUUAGAAGAGUCAAGUAGAGAAUUAAAUCUACUAUCUUCUAUGAUUUAAAAGGUUUUUCAUCACUUUUAUCGCUGAGACUCAGCUUAAUAAAUAAACCACAUCAUCCCUGUACUACGACCAAGGAUAUUCAUUAGUAUCACGACCAUAAAUUAUCCAUGCACUACGGGCCAAGGAUAUUCGUGUAUUCAUCAAUGGUCAUGAUCAUGCCAACAACUGUCCAUCAAUUCACUACAGCCAAUGAGGACUUUUAGCACAUCAUUUGUAAUAUUACGAUCAUGAUUAUACCAAAUAAUCCCUGGUCAUAAUCACACCAAGUCCAUCUAUGCACUACAGGCACUACUAGAAAUUCGACAUAUAGCGACGAGCUAUAGCGACGGUCGGCACAGAACCGUCGCUAUAGGGUAUCUAUAGGGACGAUCGGCAUGGAACCGUCGGUAUAAAGGUUUUUUAAAGAUAAAACACUCCCACCUUCCCCCAAAUCAUUUCACUAUCUUCACUCUCAUCUCUCCCAUCUCUCACCGUCCACUGGCUCCCCUCGCCUCUGACCACAUGUGCCGACGGAUCAUUCUCCAUUCACAAGAUGAUCCUCGGAACCCACACUUCCGAUGAUUUCCCUAACUUCCUCAUCGUCGCCGAUGUCCAUCUCCCCGUCAACCCUGCCUCCGCCCCCGAGACCAAUCUGGAAAAUCCUAAUAUCCCAAAGGUCAGCACUAUGUUGUUUAUUUGGGUUUUGAAUUUCUGUGUUUGCUAAAUCUUUGGGUUUGAUGAUCUGUCUUUGGUAAUUCUUGGUUUUCUAUGACCCGAUUGUGUUUCAGGUUGUUGUGGCUCAUACCAUUGGGCAUGUAGCUGUUGGAUAUGGUAUAAAGAAGCUGCAGAUUAUGAUGACUAUUGUUGAUGACUUGGUGUCUGUUGACAGUCUUGUUGAGGAUUAUCUUACUACUGAGCCUGCGAAUGAGUACAUCCAGAGCUGUGAUAUUGUGGCCUUUAACAAAAUAUGUGAGUUUGUAGUAUUUUUUUCUUGACUGUUUAAUUUAGGCCUUAUGCAAGUGUUUGUGGUACAAUUAUUUUACUUAUUUUAUUGCAUUCGAUUAUUUGAUGAUAAUGGUUUUUGUUGCAGAAUUUCUUAAAUCUAUGGGAUUGACAUGGGAAAUUUAUUGAAGAAAGAUUCUUAUAUCUAAGCCUAAGCUGUGAUUUUUGUUUCUAUUUUUUUUUCUAGUAUGUCAAUUUUGAUAUUUGUUAGGAGAAGUGGAUUUUUAUGUAAUGACUUGCUGGUCCUUACUCUGCCUUAGUGGUAUUUGAUUGAAAACUAGAAUAUGGUUUGACAUUUUAACUUUUUGGUGCAAUAUUUUACUACUUUGUUUUGCUAUUUGGUUUUCUUGCUGCUGCUGGUAAUAAUAGAAGUCAUAGUUUGUUUUGAUGUUGCUGUACCUGUACUCUAGUACUUACAUGGGAUGAAUUUAGGUUUAUAAUGAUAAGCACAAGUAUGUUGGCUGACUAAUUUACAAAAAAAUAUCUGUAAAAUGAUAGAACUUGGUAGAAUAAGUGUAACUUAUAUACAAGGGUGUGACCUUAUGUAUCAGUCUGCUUAUGCCUAAACAUCCGCACCGUGACCCAAUCGGCAAGUUUAACAAAGUUAUGGUGGUGGCAGAAUUUUAGAGAGAUUUUUACUUUUUUUUUGUUAUCAGUUUUAGGUUUAAUGCUUUGGGGACUUAUGAUUGAUAUUUUAUUAAUUAUGGUGCUAAUUGACUAGUUUGAUGAAUGGGUGUGUGCAGAAAUUGUAGAUCGUGAUGGGAAGUCGUCUCUACUUUCGCUGGUGAAAGCUUUUGAUUCUGUUCUUGCAGUCUAUAAAGGUUUCUGUAACUUGAAACAGGUAUAAAUUUCAAAUAUUUUUUUAACUAUAGUGCCAUUUAUCUCUUAAGGGUUUUGUUGCUUUACUUCUGUUUAAUUAUACUCUUUGGUUUUGGGGAAGCAAAGAGAAGGAGAAAAAAAUAUUAAGCUUUUGGAUGGAGUAUGUAUGUUGUUUAGUUCCAGAAGAUGAAAAACUAUAUUUAACUUGGACAAUUAGUUUUAUUUGCUUUGAAAGAAAUUGAUUUCGUUUUGUUUAGAAAGGAUGAGAAAACUUAAAUUUGGUUCUAAUUGUGCUUCCUUAAUUUCCAGCAUUUUCUUUCCUCUAAACCAGACAAAAUGUUGAUGUGUUUGGAGGUAGUGGAGAUGUUGUCGGUAGAUCUCGGAUGGCAAACAUAUUUUUUUCUGGUUAUUUGCUUUGUUAAGCUAUUAAUUACCUGUGGUUUGUUAUUCAGAGACGGUGGGAGGAAACAAAAGUAUUUUCAGUUUAGUGAAUUUUGUUCUUUCCCUUUCAAAAGUUGGAAAACAUGAAGUAAACAGGCAUAGAGUCGAUCAUAUUUUCGAAUUCCUCAAAAUUUUUUUGGUCGACAGUACAUUCUUUCUCAAUAGUCAAUAAUAGCAUGAUGAGUUGGUGAUUAUAUUGACAUUAAAGACUUGGUUUUGGUGGUAUUGUUUCAGGUGGAUCUCAAGCUCAAAAUCUACAGGAGACUUGGGUGUCUCUUUUUCUGAUCUGUGACUAGGUCAAGUAGCAGUGAAACUAGCAAGUAAACUUAAGAGUAGUUCACUAGCUCAACUUGUUCUUAAAGACUAGAAAAGGUAAAAUAUAUAUAUUUUUCUUCUAUUUUUUGAAUGUUAGGACUGUCAUGUGUUAAGUUGCAGGUUGAAUAUGUAUCAUCAUUUUCCAAGAUUAUUAGUAUGAUUUGUCAGCACCUGCAAAAGAUGCUCCAUGUGAGUACUAUGAAACAAAAUCCACCUUUCAGUACAUGUUGAUUUGAUGCUGCUUUCUUUCUCAGCUUCCAUUCAGUGUGUUCCAUUUUUUGAUGAGUAAAAAAAUGCAGCACACUGAAUGUGCUUCAUUGGUUACACUUCUUUUCAUUAUCCCUUUCUUUUCCAACUUAGUGUUGGCAUGCAUGUCUGAUUAAGAAUUUAUUAAUUUCAUUCCCUCUUGCAUUUAAGUUGAUAGCAUGCUUAGAGUUGAUAGCAUGCAUAGCUUGGAAUGGCAUUACUCCAAUGUACUCCUCCCGUUCUAGUUGAUACAUUUUCCUUAUGUUCAUUCCAAAAAUAGAGAUAUAUUUUUAAUUUUGGACUAUAUAGUGACAUGAAGUCCUAACGUGUCAUUGCUUAUAUUUUAGGUAUAUUGAUUCUAGCUAAUGUUAGUGAUAUGUUUGGAAAAAUGAUAUUUCUUCGCCGAAUUAUUUUGACAAUGUGACAACAGGACACUGGGCAACUACAGAACCAAUUAUGUUAAAUAAACAUUUAUGUCAUCUAACUAGCUCCUCUCUUUUCUUCCUAUAUAUAGAUAAAUAAGAGAAUGCAGUGGUAAAACUUGGAUUUUGUGUUUUAUUAUUUUAUUUUAUAGGCAACAAAUAAAAUGUGGGAAGCCCAUCUUUUUGUUUUACCUGCUUAUUGGAGUAAUUGUUUUGACUUUCCGGGUUCUCCUGUUCUUUUUUCUAACUGUGUUUUGCUAAACAUUCAACACUUUUUUCUUAUCAUUUAUAUAACAGUGUUUACAUAGUUAUACUAUUAUUUGUAGCAAUGUUCACCAUCCCCUAUAUUAUCAAAAUACAUUUUCUGGACGGUAGAAGCCAGAAGAAGGUAUCUAGGGUAAAAAGCAGCUACUGUACUGUGUCUAACUGGCUAUUUUUAUGCAAACUCAGCUGUAAAUAAAUCAAUGUCUUGCAGGAUUUUGCUCCUGUAGCACACAUGAUUAAUAUAAUCUAAGUAUCUAACAACACUACUCCGUACAUGGAAUCAACUUGCAGUUUGAAGUCGAGACAAGAUUCAUAUAUGUCUGUAUGGCUACUCAAAGCUGUUUGCGUUGCAAUCAAGGCCAAUAUUCUGAACUAAAUGAAGAAAAUGGUGCAAUUGUUCCUUUUGGUAAUGAGACUCUGUCUGGUCCAUCUUCUCCAAGUACUAGUACAAGAAGCCUACCAGUAGAUGGUCAUUGUGCAGAAUAUGAUUGUAAUGUUGUAAUGAUUGUAUUGUGAAUGAUUGUAAUGUUGUAAAAUAUCUCUUAUAUUGUAAUGUUGUAGUGUGAAUGAUUUUAAAUGAUGUAUAUAAUAUUUUUUAUAUUUUAUUUUAUAUUGUAUUUGUGUUUGUUGAAUAAAUGUGCAUUAUUAAUUUUUUUUAAAUAUAAAAAGGCUAUAGCGACGGUCAUUGAUUGUAGCUAUAGUGUUCUAUAAAACACAUCCCUAUAGCGACGGUCACCGAGCGUCGCUAUAGACAUCUAUAGCUACGGUCAUGACCGUAGCAAUAACUCUCAGCGACCGUUAGUAAAGAGCAAAUACACGAUUUUGCCAUGACCUAUAGCUAGGGUCGGUGACCGUCGCUAUAGGCCAAAAGACCGUCGCUAUAGGCUUUACCGAUGGGUUCUAUGGCGACGGUCGGCGACCGUCGCUAAAACUUUUAGCGACGGUCUUUUGGCCUAUAGCGACGGUCGGCGACCGUCGCUAUAGGCUGAUUUUCUAGUAGUGAGGCCACAGAUGACUUUCAACAUAUUAUAAACAUGAGGAUGAUGACAAUGAUAUAAGAAUUCAAUAAAACAAGUUCAACGAUAAUUUUUUUAAAUAUUUAUAAUUUAAUUUAUCCAGAACUCAAUAACGUUCAAAUUGUCAACAUGAUACUGUUUUGUAGAAUAAAAUUCAAGAAUGCUCAGAAGAAUAUUUCCAUGAAAAGAUACUGGAUGAAGCGUAAAUAUUCAGGAUAUUCUACUAAUUUCUUGGAGUAUAGAAGCCAAAAUUUUAACCAACUGAGUAUAAUAGAAUAUAUGAAACUACAAAUAGAUUUUUGCCCGCCAUGCGAUAAUCCACGUAGACAGAUUAUUUCUAUAAUUUAAUAAGGAAUGAAUACGAAGGAUCAUUCACCAUGCAUGCGGUAAUCCACAUAGACAGGUUAUUCCAACAUAAUAAUAAAGAAUAGAAUAACAGAAGAAUUCACCAGGCGUGCGUAAUCCGCACAGACAGGUUAUUCCAACAGAAUGAUAAAGAAUGGAACCAGGUCAUGCGUAACCCACACAGACAGGAUAUUCCAACAGAAUAAUAAAGAAUGGAACCAGGUCAUGCGUAAUCCGCACAGACAGGAUAUUCCAACAUAAUAAUAAAGAAUGGAAUAACAACAGAAUUCACUAGGCAUGCGAUAGACAGCACAGACAUGUUAUUCCAACAGAAUAAUAAAGAAUAAAAUAAUAGAAGAAUUUCACCAUGUAUGCGGUACUUCGCAUAGACAUGUUAUUCAAACAUAAUAAUAAAGAAUGGAAUAACAACCCUUACGAGUAUUGAAAGAAAAUAACCCUCUUCAUGAAUAUGAAAGAAUAAUACCCCUUACCUUAGAAAAAGACUGGAUACUGAAAUAGUGAAGUAGCAGACUUCUCUUCUUCGUUCUCUCUAUAAUUUCUCUCUAUAAUAAUUGCUCUAUAGCUUUAGUGAAUUGGUGAGAAGUGAAGGAAGAAUGAGCUUCUAUUUAUAGGAAAAUAUAGUUUCGAUAAUUGCACGUUUUAGGGCUCAAAAUAUUACAGUAUAAUACAUUCCUCUUUUUCUUCAUUUUUAAUUUAGUCCUGCAAGUAUUAUUAAACUUGCACCACCUCCCCUAAUAGUAAAUAAUGUGAAUUAAUAGUUCAUUCAUGUGACUUAAUAGUAUAAUCAUGUGAAAAAACUAAUUACAGUAUAGUACCUUCAUCUAUACCUCCAUUUUUAAUUUAGUCAUGCAAGUAUUAUCAAUCUUGCACCACCUCCCCUAAUAGUACAUGAAUGUGAAUCAAUAGUACACACAUGUGAACAAAUAGUUAUAAGCAUGUGAAAUAAUAAUAAUUAAUUGCUCAUUUAUCCGAUUAAUUACUCGAUUGGUUAAUAUAACCUUCAAACAUUAAUUAUUAUCGAAAUAAAUGUCGAUUUCCACUAACACUAAUAAUCCCAACACAAUGGAACUAUCAAUUUCAUUUUUAAUCAACACAACUUAUUCAUCAUUAAUAUUAUAACUCACAAUAUUUAACAAUCAGGUCGUUCCCAGAAAAGAGGGGGCUUUCCGAUAAGGAUUUCUCUUUAUUAGCGCGCAAUUAAGUGACCAAACCUCUCCUUGACAGAACUUCUAGACAUUGUCAAUAUUAUAAAUAAUAAUAUGAAUAACUUUGUCGUCUCAAUUAUUGAUUUAAUAAUAUAAAAUAUUAUGCAGAUGAUAUUGUGACAAUAAUUGAAUCAAUAAUAUGAGAGAUAUGAUGCAGCAAUUACUGUAGCAAUAAUUGAGUAUAACUAAGUGACUUCUCACGUAAGCAUCAAUAAUCAAUAUCGUGUGCUACUAUGCAACCACACGUAUUACUGUACUUUUACUACUGGGUAGUUCAACAGUUUUAACGGUAACGCUUUCGCCGUUAUUUUUAUAAAAAGAUAAUUAUGUCGUUUUCUAACUACGACAAUACUUUCGUUGUGGGGUCCACCAAUGAUUGUACCGUCGUACGAAUAUUCCCCGACCAAUCGAAUAUUAUAUAACCACUUGCUUACUUUGUAAAAAAUUUCACAUAUCACCCUUAACUUUCACUUUUUAUCAAUUUAACCAUUUACGAAAUAAAAUAUUAAUUAUAAAAAAAAUUGAAUAUUUUCAUUUCAUAAAAUUCGGGGUCUCACAGUUGGAGUUGGGGCGAUGGUUGAUAGCGACGAUGAGUAGGAUCUGAUUAUCCGGGCUUUGUUGGUUCUUUGUUUAGAGAGAUCAAUGGUGGUGGUGGUGGUGGUGGUGGUGGUGGUGGUAGUAGCAAUGGGGGAGAAGCAGUGGCGAAGCCACAUAGAGGUCUAUGAGGUCAAUCGCCCCCCACUGGGAAUUUUUUUUUUUAUAAUGUAAGGUAAAUUUUAAAAUUUUUAAGUAUUAUAUAUAAAUAGACCCCACUAAAAUUUUAUAAAUUUUCUAUUAUACGGAGUCAAAUUGAAAAUUUAUAACUUUGUCAAUCAAAUUUUAAUCACAUAUGACUCAUAUCCUCUUAAUAUAUGUAUCUCUCUAUAAUAUUUUAAACUAAAUAAUAAUCUAAUUUAUAUUAUUUUUAAAAAUAAAUAAUGAAUUACUUACUUAUGAACAAUUGUGAUUAAAAAAGUCUAGUAUGAGUCAAUAUAGUGUAUAUAUACCAUAUAUUAUUAUUACUCAUUAUAUUUUUAUUGUAAUAUAUAUAUAUAUAUAUAUAUACUCGAAAGUAUAAAGUAUUAAAAAAAAUUGGCUCGGAGGCGCAACUUCCGAACCCCCGCCAAAUUAUUUGUAACUCAAUAAUAAUUUCGACCCCACUGACAAAAAAUCCUGACUUCGCCACUGGGGAGAAGUAUGGUUUCGGUGGUGAUGAAGAAGAAGAAAAAGAAGAAGAAGAAGAAUCCCUCAAUUUCAAAAUAUUAUAUAAUUUUAUAUUUUUAAAGUGAAAUUAAAAUAUUUAAAAUUUUAAAAAUAUAUUAAUUAAUUAAUUUAUAUAAAUUUAUUUGUAAAAAUUAUUCAUUAAUUUAUAUGAAUGAAUGUAUUAGAUGGUUUGGUUGAGAUGGGAUUUAUACAUGUACAUAUAGGAAGGAUUUGAGAGUUGACUACUAAAUCCUAUAUGGCAUCAGGCUGAAGUGGUCAAAUGUUGAAGGUUUGAAUAUAUUGGGUCUAUUUUUUAUAUUUAUUUGUUUUUAUUCAUAAUAAUAAGAUAUGAGGGUCCUUCAAUACUUACAUUUUACGUAUACGCCUUUAGGUUUAAUAAAUAUUUUUAUGUAUUGGACUAUUUCAAUUCUCUCAAGCAUAUUCCAAGACAUUGACUUCUCCCACGAGGGAUAUCAGCUAUAAAAAAAUAUUGAAUAUUUACACGCAUAUGUAUAAUUAAAUCCAUAUUCACACUUUUAUAUCAGCUAUAAAAAAAUAAUUUACACGCAUAUGUGAUAUGUAUAUAAUUAAAUCAUACACUCACUNNNNNNNNNNNNNNNNNNNNNNNNNNNNNNNNNNNNNNNNNNNNNNNNNNNNNNNNNNNNNNNNNNNNNNNNNNNNNNNNNNNNNNNNNNNNNNNNNNNNAUAUAUAUAUAUAUAUAUAUAUAUAUAUAUAUAUAUAUAUAUAUACACACACACACACACACAUAUCUAUACAUAUAUGUAUAUAUGUAUAAUAAUAAUAGUUUAUAAUAGCAGUCCAAAAUUUUCUACAUGCGCUCCAUAAAUUAAAAAAUAGAAUAAAUUUUAUUUUACAAUGAAAUUCAAAUAAAACUUAAAACACAAUCAAAUAUAAGUCACUACUUGAGGUUGAAGAAUGAUCACAAAAACCAAGUUCUUUAUUUACCAAAUUAUUUUCUACAAACAAUUUUUAUUUUUAAACAUUAUUAAUUUACUUCAGAGACUGUCCCCUUUGUUGAUUUCUUUCUUGAUUAAUUUUCUUUGUUAUAUAUAGAAAAUUGAUAUUUUCAUAUAAAUAAUAAUAUUUCUACAUGAAUCCCUCUCACGUAUUUCUACAUGAAAUAAAAAAAAUUCUAUAUAAAUUUUGAUAUUUACCAAAAUUUUGAGACAUUUUCAAACUACACAGUCGCAGGAUACAGUUACCUCCUCUCAGUGGUACAGCCGAAAGAAACAUUCUAAUUGUCAAUAAAUAAUUUUUUUACUGAUUUAUUUUUACUUCCCUUUAAAAAUAUUUUGGUUCCGCCACUGCAUAAAACAGAAUUACGUAACUUUUUGCAAUAAAACUUUAAUACUACUCAAAUUAGAGUAGUAAUACAUUUUAAUCUUUAAAAUUUGAUAUUAAAAAAUUAUGAGUAAAAGGGUAUCUUACACAAAGUUAAAACUACUCUUUGUUGUGAGCGUAUACUUAAUGUUGAGAGAUUUAAAGCUAUUUGUUUUAAACGGGUUAAAUACAUUUUUUUCCCACUCUACUAGGGGUCAGUUUACAAAUGCAUCACUGAAUUGAUUUUUUUUACAAACAAAGGAGAGCGUCGAUCUGACCAUUUUUGGAGUUGGGUUUUGAGAGUUGGAGUUGGGGCUAUGAUUGAUAGUAUUUUUAUAAGGAAAACUUCCUUAGACUUUUAUAAAUUAAUCAAUGUGGGACUUGGCUAUUAAAGUCUCACUUGGUAGCGUUUUUAUAAGGAAAACUUCCUUAUAUAAUUAUUAAUCAAUGUUGGACUUCCAAACAACCAUAUAUAUGUGUUCUUUAAUAUGUAUUCUCUUGUCUUACCAAUAUCCCACCUUGUCUAAUUUGUAUUCUCUUGUUUUACUUCUAUUUUAUAAAUAGAGGAGACCACUAAUAAUUUUAUCAAGUCCUACAUAUUCUAUUAUGUCUUUUUUUGUGUUAUUUUUAUUUUAUACAUAGAGAAUACUUCAAGCCAAUUCUACUACAAGGCUAAGUAAAAAUUUAUUUAAAAAGAGAUUUUGAUAGGUACAAUUGGUUUGGUCCAGUAUGUAUUGGACCUAUGAAACUGGUAACCGAAACUGGUACUGAAAAUCAAUUUGUACUGAACUGGUCCCAAACCGAUUUUUUUGUAUCGAGCCGACCGAUUCGGUUCACCUUGAAAACUGAAAUUAUCGAAAUUGUUGAACAACCCUAAGUGCUAGUCCUAUUCCACACCCAUUGUAUUUAUCCAAUUCUUACUUUUAUUCAACACGCAUAUGUAUAAUCACGCAUAAUUUUUUAUAUAUAUAUAUAUAUAUAUAUAACAAAAUACAACUGAUUUUGAAUUUUUCGCUCACCCUGAUAAAUCAUCUGGACCGUCCAAAAUUUGGGAUAAAUUCCACCGUACUAGUACUAUAAUAUGCUAAUAUUGCUUCUUGAAUUUCUAAAUAUAUAUUGUAUGAUUUUUCCAGUCAAUAGGACAAAACUUGAGUAGAAUCUGCAUUGUUUUAUACAUAGUGAGCAGUGAUUGUAAUUAAAAAAAAAGAAUUAAGUCUCUGAGCUGAGCCUAUGACUUAGAUAUUAUAAUUAAUACCUGUUGAGUCAUGAUAUUUUCUUCUAUUUGGGCCGAAUGAAUUGGGCUCACUUAUUUAAUUAGUCUAUUGGGCCUUCAUUAUUGAACCUUGAAAGUCGUUGGGCCUAGUCAUCAUAUUAUUUCUAUUAAAACCUUAUGAGACCGGGUCGGUUCAUUAGACUAACCCAUUAGAUAUUUUAAUAUCUAUUACUUUGACUUGUAAUGAUGGAAAAGCAUGAUAGAUGACUGCUGUAACUGCCAUGCAUUAAUGUGGAUGGGAUCAUAGCCGGCAGGCGGUAGAAAACAGUGACCAAAGGUAGUGGAUAGACUGCAUGCAGUCGGAAGAACCCAUCAGAUCAGGGGGCUGUGCAGAUAGUAGUGGGUGGCACGGUAAUCCGGGCAAAGAGAGUAUAACCUAGCAAGGAAGUCUUCACAAAGAGGUACGUUCACAUACACACACGACUGAGAAUUAUCAUCUCUCUCAAUACACUAGACAAUUAUUAUCCUCCAUUGUUAACCUCGUGAACAUGUAUACUGACUCUCACGCCUAAACUCUCCCCCGAUGGUCGAAGCCGUCAAGCUUGUGGUGUUUAUCGUGUUUACUGUGCAGGAUCAGGACGUCUUACGUGAUUGGGACAUGGCAGCAGAUCUUGGCGUUAACAUUGGCGCUAGAAGGAGGGGCAGUUCUAGUGUUCAAGAGUUGGCAAUCACAAAUAUUUAUUUGUUCUACGUUUUCAAAGAUGGGGAAGAGUAGAGCAGAUACACCUGAAGGACAGCCGAUGACUGUCAGUGAAUCAGCACCACGAAUACCUGUCAAGGAACGUUUGGGACCUACAUUAAGUGUUCAUGCCAGCACAGCAUCCAAACGUUCGCAUGGAGAUUCUCAUCCAAGGACUGUGGGCAAAGCUAAGAGAAAGCUAGUCUUUACAGCAGAGAAAGAGUCUGGUCACGGUCGGAAGCAAGUAGAAGGCACCUCACCUAAAACUCGAUACCGAGAUGACCAGGACGAAAAGGCCUCCCGGUUGGCUAAGAUGGCAGACGAAGCGGAUAGGGCCAUGGAGGCACUUAUGAAGCAACAUCAGGAUAUAGCUGAGCAGAUGUCCCAGAUGGCAGAGUUAAGGGACGAAGAGUCCAUUUAUGUUCGGUCCGAAGGGCGUGGGCAACGGAGUAGGAAGGAACCUGCCCAUUCAGGACGUGAGUCUCGAGGCCAACGUCGAGAAAGAAGAAAAUCAAGGAGUCCUACUCCUCAGAGAUCGAAGAGGGCAUAUCACCCUAUCGAGUCUAAAGCGCAAGGUCGAAGUGAACGAAGAGGCCGAUCCAGGGAAUGUACUCCGGAGAAUACAAAGAAGGCGCUCGUUGUUGCGCAUUCUCAUCACAACCACAGAACCCAAAGACGAAGUAGAUCUAGGGGCCAUACACCAGAAAGUCCACUGAGGGCACGACGCUCUGCGUACCAUCAUCAUCGUAAAAGUCCCUCGAGAGUUGGGGGUUCUAUGGUAAAAGAUCGAUCCACCCGAAAGAAGAAAGAUUCCCUUGAGAAAGAGGCGUCGUCUCAACCAGAGGGGGUAGAUUAUUUGGUUAAAGAGUUAAAGGAGCUCCGAAAAUAGUUGGCAGAGGUGCAGCAGGUGAAGGACACUCCGGGAAAGAAGGCGUCACCUUUUUCCUCAGACAUUUUUAAGGAGAAGGCAGAUAGCACCAAGAAGUUGCCUCGGAUGGAGAGCUAUGAUGGGUCUGGGGACCCUUAUGACCAUAGCCAGGCGUUCGACCGGCUGAUGGAUUAUUAUGAUUUUACCGAUGCUGCCAAGUGUCACACGUUUGUCACCACAUUGAGAAAGGAUGUGAGACAGUUGAUGGGGACUUUACCGUCAGAUUCAAUUUCUUCUUGGACCGAGCUUUGUGACAAGUUCCAUGCCCAUUUUGGGAGCAACCGAAGAAGGGGGAAGCCUACAGGUUCUUUAGCACAGGUCAGACAGUUCACCAACGAGUCUUUAGGCCAGUAUGUGAAGAGAUUCAGGGAAGCAGUUGGUCAGGUGUCCGACCUCAAUGAUCUCCAGGCGGUGGGGUUGUUUCAGAAUGGGUUAGACCUGAUAAAGUUUGAAAAGCUGGUGAAGAAGUUGAUGUUCCACCACCCGAAGAGCUUAGCACAAGCUUUUGACAAGGCAGAAGGUUAUAUUGUCGUGGAGGAGGCUAUGAAUAGCCUGAAACGCCCUUCUUCGGACCAAAUGAAAGAGGUAGAUACGCCUAAGGCUGAAGGCGAUCAGAGGAAGACGGGGGGUAUAAUGAUCGGCCAGAAGGUAGUUCGAAAAGGUACAACAAUUCAUGGCGACAGGGAAGUAGUUGUCCACCUGCUUCCGCCCCGAAGGUGAACAAGGUUUACACCAAACUGAAUAUGGAUAGGUCGGUAAUUUUGGACCAGAUCAGGAACCAGCCAUUCUAUGAGCCACCUCGUGAUAACUAUAAGACAGGGCAAGGCAACUCUCAGAAAUUUUGUGGUUAUCAUCAAGCCGCAGGUCACGACACUAAUGAGUGUUGCAAUUUGAAGGACUUCGUGGAGAAGAAGAUUCAAAGUGGUUUGCUGGUUCAGUAUGUGGCCGGGAGGGGCCAACAAGAUCAACAAAAUGUCAACCGUACUGUUCAGACGGUCCAAACGGUUCCACCCGUCCAAAAUGCUCCAGUACCACCGUCGAGGCACGUCAUUGAUGUAAUAAUCGGUGGGACAGCAGGAAAGUUGGUAGGGAAGAAGAGGAGAGGGUACCUAGAUUCGGUCAUGUCCGUGGCGAGUGCGUCCCCGAAGGCCGACAGACCAUUUCCGGGGAUUGUCAUAUCCUUCACCGAUGCAGAUUAUCCUUCGGAACCCAUCGAGCCCCAUGAAGGAGCGUUAGUGAUCACUACACAAGUAGGCUCGGUGGAUGUGAAGCGUAUGAUGAUAGACAACGGGUCUUCUGUAGAUAUUUUGUAUGCCCACGGUUAUCAGAGGAUGCAUCUUGAUGGGCGAAAGAUGGAGGUCGGGCAGGAGGCUCCUUUAUAUGGCUUCAACAACGAUCCAGUCAAAGUUGCGGGCACUAUUGAACUCCCAGUGGUCUUCGGCACAGCUCCUCAGCAGGUAGAAAUAACAUGUAAAUUUUAUGUUGUGCAUGUAGAUUCGGCUUACAACGCCAUAUUGGGAAGGCCUACCUUGACGGCUCUCCAAGCUGUGACCUCCAUCCCUCACUUCAAAAUCAAGUUCCCCACGGCAUACGGAGUUGGAGAGGUGGCAGGGGACUUGGAUCUAGCCCGACGCUGUUAUCGGAAUGCUGUCAUUUCCUCCAGAGUAGGGGUCAGCAAGCAGAAGCAAACCAUGGCAAUUGAGAUCGAGCCCUUUACUGAAAGCAGUUCAAAGCCAUUGGUUACUCCUGCAGGGGAGACAGAAGAGAUCGAGUUGGUCAUCGGGAAGAGGGACAAAACAGUGAAGAUUGGUUCGGGUCUACCAGAACCUCUUCGGACAAAUCUUAUAGAGCUCCUUCGCUGCUAUGCGGACAUUUUUGCAUGGGAACCACAAGAUAUGCCUGGAAUUAGCUGGAAGAUUGCCGAGCAUAGGUUGGAGGUAGAUCCCUCAAAAAAGCCAGUUCGGCAAAAAAGGCGAAUCUUUGCACCUGAGCGUCAGAGGAUCAUUGAUGAGGAGAUUGCUAAGCUGAUAGCUGCUGACUUCAUUUUUGAGAUCGACUACCCAUAGUGGAUGGCUAAUGUAGUGUUGGUGCAGAAGCAGAAUGGAAAGUGGCGGAUUUGCAUCGACUACACCGACCUGAAUAAAGUUUGUCCGAAGGACUUUUAUCCUCUGCCCCAUAUUGAUCAACUCAUCGAUGCCACUUCGGGGUAUGCAUUACUAAGCUUUAUAGAUGCUUUUUCAGGUUAUCAUCAAAUUUCUAUGUGCAAGGAGGACAUUCCGAAGACAGCAUUCAUUAUACACCGUUCGGUGUAUGCCUAUAAGAAGAUGACCUUUGGCCUUAUAAAUGCUGGAGCCACCUACCAAAGAAUGAUGAAUUUCAUAUUCGAGAGACAGCUGGGGAGGAACAUGGAGGUGUACGUGGAUGAUAUGAUCGUGAAAAGCAUGCAAGUCCAAAAGCACUUGGAUGAUCUGGAGGAAUUCUUUCAGACUGUCCGUCACCACAAGUUGAGGCUCAAUCCAGCAAAGUGUACCUUCGGACUCGGUGCAGGGAAGUUCCUGGGGUACCUGGUCAGUCAGAGGGGCAUUGAAGCCAAUCCGGAGAAGAUCCAGGCCAUUCUUGAUAUGAAGACUCCUCAGUUGUUUAAAGACGUCCAACGUCUGACUGGCAGGAUUGCAGCUCUGAGGAGGUUUAUGUCGAAGUCUGCGGAGAGAUGCUUGCCGUUCUUCGACACACUGAAGGGGCCGAAGAAUGCGAAGACGUUCCAGUGGACUUAAGAGUGUGAAGACGCCUUCCAAGGCAUAAAGACAUAUCUAUCUUCUGCUCCUCUAUUGGUGAAGCCUGCCCCAGCAGAGACCUUGUAUUUGUACCUUGCAGCAAGUUCGUUGGUAGUUGGAGCAGUGCUGGUUCGGGAGGUCAGUGGGAAGUAGCAUUCGGUCUAUUAUGUCAGUCAUGUCCUACGAGAUGCUGAAACCAGGUACCCGAAUAUUAAAAAAUUUGCUUUUGCUUUGAUAAUUGCUAGUAGAAAGCUUCGGCAAUAUUUUCAAGGUCGGCUCCUGGUCGUCUACACGGAUCAGCCAUUGAAGAAGGUGAUGAGCAAGCCAGAGGUUUCGGGGAGGUUGGCAGCAUGGACGAUGGAAUUGUCCCAAUUUUUUAUCGAAUACCAUCCUCGAACCGCUAUCAAGGGUCAGGCCUUGGUCAAUUUUAUGGUGGAAUGUUCGUUCACCGAAGUAGAUGCCGAGUUGCCAGAGGCUGAGACGUCCGAUCGAGCAGUUGCUGUUCUUCAGCAUGGUCCGAAUACAUGGACGCUGUAUGCAGAUGGGUCCUCUACGGUGAAUGUUAGUGGGGCAAGGAUUAUCUUGACAAGUCCGGAGGGAUUCAAGGUGCAGCAAGCAAUCAGAUUUGGGUUCAAAGCAACAAACAAUGAGGCCGAGUAUGAAGCAGUGUUAGCAGGAGUUCGACUGGCGAAAAGUCUAGAGGUCCAGAAGCUGAUCAUUUACAGUGACUCUCAGUUGGUCGUCAAACAACUGUCGGGAGAUUAUGAAGCUCGUGGGACCAGGAUGAUCAAGUAUCUGGCAGAAUUAAAAGACCGACUUCAGUACUUCGUUUCUUAUGAGUUUCAGGGCAUAGAGCGUAACGACAAUUCCAUUACCGAUGCACUGUCGAAGCUGGCCACUACGGAUGCAAAUAUUUUCAACGGAUCGGUUUAUUUAGAAAUUUUGCAGCAGCCGAGUAUCCAGCAUGAAGCGGUAAUGUAUAUCGAACGAUCUAACUGCUGGAUGACUCCCUAUAUUAAAUAUCUAGCUGAUGGCGUCCUUUCUUCGGAUCAGAUGUUGGCAAAGAAGAUCAAAUACAAGAGUGCCAAUUUCGUUCUUAUUGAUGGGGAUCUAUAUCGAUUGGCAUUUUCCUCACCAUUGUUGAAGUGUCUGGUUCCAUCCGAGGCCGAGUAUGCUCUUCGGGAGGUUCACGAGGGUAUUUGCGGUGAUCAUAUGGCUGCCAAGUCUUUGGCUUAUAAAGUACUUCGAUAGGGAUACUAUUUGCCUAUAAUUUUUAAGGAAGCUACAAAGUAUGUCAAGAAAUGUGAAAAAUGUCAGCUCAACAGUCUGAUCCCACAUCAGCCACCAGAAGAGCUAUACUCGAUUUUAUCUCCUAUACCCUUUGCUGUCUGGGGGGUAGAUAUAUUGGGCCCGUUGCCUAAAGCUAAAGGUCAGGUCAGCUUUGUCAUAGUUGCCAUUGAUUACAUGACCAAGUGGGUAGAGGCGAAACCACUUCGGUUGAUAACGGAACAAGAGUGUUUGAAGUUCAUAAAAGAGUCCGUAGUGUUUCGCUUCGAAAUUCCUAAAGUGUUGAUAUCGGACAACGGACGUCAGUUCGUGGGAUCAAAAUUUGAAGGAUUUUUAAAAGAGCUGGGGAUUCAGCAUAAGAAGACUUCGGUGGUUCAUCCACAGUCAAACGGGCAAGUUAAAGUGACAAACAGAACACUGCUGAACGGCAUCAAGCGUAGACUGGAUGAAGCCAAAGGAAGAUGGCCAGAGGAGCUGCUCAGUGUGUUAUGGGCUUAUCGGACCACACCGAGGACUACUACAGUGGAUUCACCUUUUUUGAUUGGCCUAUGGUACUGAUGCCUUAGUCCCAGUCGAAAUUGGAUCUCCAAGUCUUUUGGUCAGUCAAUUCAAAGAGAUCUACAACGACGAAGGACUGAAGGCCAACUUGGAUCUGUUAGAAGAAGUCAAAGAGGUAGCUUUGCUCAAACUGGCUACCUACCAACUAAGAUUAGCUAAGAAUUACAACAAGGGAGUCAAACUUCGCAGAUUCGAAGUAGGAGACUUCGUCCUCAGAGAAGUCGAAGCAUCUACGCCUCAGAACACGGGAAAGCUAAUGCCGAACUGGGAAGGGUCGUAUGAGGUGAUCGAAGUACCAAAGCCAGACACUUAUCGAUUAAAGGCAUUAAAUGGGUCCAAGAUCAAGAACACUUGGCAUGCUGGUAGGCUUCAGAAAUAUUUUCAAUAGAGAUCAAGUCAAUUUACCGGAAGUCUGUACAUGAUUGUCCAUUAUCAAUAAAAAGUCACUUUUUCACAAUUGAUCUUCUUCAUAUUUGUCCUAAGUUCACAAUGGUGUAAGGAGGUAUGGUCGGACUCGCUGGCCAUUCGAUGGCAGCCUACUUAUUUGUUACCCCGUGUGGUAGACAAAUCCUAUGGUCCCUUUUUAUAUUGUUUUUACCGAGGGCGGUAAUUCAAUAGGCACCAAAGUAAGGAGGACAGGGUGGACUCGCUGACCAUUCGAUGGUAGCCUCUUCGGCAGGAGUGUCCUUAUGGAUUUGUUAUACCCCGCGUGGUAGACAAAAUCCAUGGUCCUUUUAAAUUUGUUAUACCCCGCAUGGUAAAUAAAAGGCACUGAAGUAAGGAGGUAUGGUCGGACUUGCUGGCCAUUCAAUGGCAGCCUUAUUGUCAGGAGUGUCCUUAUGAAUUUGUGACCCCGUGUGGUAGACAAAUUCCAUGGUCCUUAUAUCUUUGUUAUACCCUGCGUGGUAAACAAAUGUCCUUAUAUAUUGGUCCUUAUAUAUUUGUUUCACCCUGAGUGGUAAACAAAAUCCCGAUGGUGCAAGGAGGAUCAGCCGAAUUCACCUUAUACAUGACCGAUCUCACACUUCGGUAACGAUAAGUAUACAUUACUUUAUUUUGUUCAAGUGUUGAGUUCAGUUCAUUCAAUUCUGUCCAUUCAAUUCAGUUCACUUUAUUUCAUAAUUUAACUGUUAUAUGCCUUAGCUGAUUCACAAUCUAAGUUAAGUUCAUACAGAUUAAUUGAUGCUGAAUUAUUGACAAGAAACGAAUCAAAACAGAAGUCAUAAUCAAGAAAGUUAAAGAUUCAUUGACAAGAUAAGACAUUCAUUCAUCUGUUCAAAACCAAAAAUCAUCCAUAACACUAACUAAUUACACAAGCAUAGAAAUCCUGCCAAAAUCCUUAUAUAAAGUUUCAAACAGUUCCAAAAACAUAAACAGUUUAAAUAAAUAAUUUUCACAAGUUAUUAAAAUAUCAGAAAAAAGCAGAAAGGACAUUCAAGCACCGUCUCCACCAUCGGAGUCGAUCAGAGCUGGAUCUAGCUGAGCAGCAGCCAAUUUUUCCUUACCACGCUCCCGAAAAUCUUCAUAGCCUUCAGAAUAAACCUUCAAGAUCUCAUCAUUAAUCUCGUCAGACUCUCGAUAGUCGGACUGGAUCUGCUUAUGCACUUCUUCAGUCAGAAGAGGACAUCGUCCCUCGAGUUCCUUUAUCUUGUGACGAAGCUUGUGAUGUUUGGCCCUAUACGCCUUCUUCUCAUCUUGAGCCUCCGCUUGGACUUCGCCCAAUUGCAUCGCCCAGUUCCGUUGGGCUGUGACGAGCUCUUCAAUCUUGGCCUUCAAAAGCAGAUUCUCCUCGACGAGGCCCGUAUUCAUAUCAGUUAAAGAUUUUUGACUGGCGUCGGACGCAGCCAGCUCAUCCCUCGUGGCCCUCAACUCGUCAUCAGACGUCUUCAAGUCCAUCCUAGCUCGAUCUAGGUCUCUCCGAAGGCCUUCAUUGGUAUGAACAACGCCUUCGUGAUCGCUCCUUUCCCGAGCCAGGGUCGCCUUCAGCAUAUGGUUAUCCUGUCUCAAAAAAUCCUCCUCGGCUUCACCAUUGAUAUGCCUUGGACAUAAACGCCCGAAGACAGCAUUUGCCUGCAUAUGUCCAACAAUAUCCGAUCAAAUUCAAAUAUUUAAACAGAAGCGGGAAUGAAGAAGAUAAACAAAAAAACUUUUACUUACCUUAGCCAGAUAACUCAUCCCCUCGUCAAGCAGAUCCCCGUCCGUGUGAUUAUUAAAUCAGUGAUCGUCUGUGUCUCGAACGAAGGUAUCGAAGAGCUUGAAAGGUAAAUUCGCAUUAAACCGAGGCCAUAGGGUCGGAGACCCCAUAGCUUCAUUAUGAUAUCCUUGAUUUGAAGGUCCGGGUCGUUCGGGUGAUACCUUUGCUAGGUCGGGAGAUGGAGUUGGUCGUUUGGGAGACGGUGACGGGUCCAUGUAUACAUUCUCGGGAGAUGGAGAUCGGAUCGGCACGGAUUCUCGUGGUGGUGAUGGGGCUGAAGCCGCACUAGGAGGAUCGUCAGAAGAACACUUUCUUUUUCGAGAUAAUGCAGGCACGGUUUCAACUUGCUCUUCCUCAUCAGAAACUUGUAUCUUCACUAGAAUCGGUGAAGGGAGCUUGAUCGAAGACGGAGGUACUCUGAGCUCUUCGGCUGACAGAGGAGUCACUUUGGAUUUCAAUUUUUUGAUUCGGAGAAGGCUCCUUCGAUCAGGAUGAUCGAGUAAGCUUCCCCGAGGAGGGACUGAUGUGGUGGGUGGUUUAGAUUCUGGAAUGGGCUCCGAAGUUUUUAGAACGGGCGUGGGUCGAGGCUUCCGAACUGCCCGCCUCUUUUGUCGGAGUUGGAGUAUCUCUUCGGGAGGAGGAGAUUUGACAUCUUCCAGGUCACCUAUUCGAGGAUCAACUGUAUGGGUUUCAUCAAUUGGGUUAUCUUCAGUUUCUGGGAUUUCUGAUUGGGGAGGCUCGGCAAUGGCUUGUGCCGACUUUCCAGCUAAGAAAUCCUCCAAAUCUCUCACGUCUAUCGAAGACGGCUUAAUCAAACACACUGCAAAAGACAGAAGGAUCACAUGUCAAAAUUUACAUUAUUAAACGUUUUCAAAUAAUUAUGCAGUCAAGUAAAUCAGAACUUACAUUUGUGGUCAUACAACCAGGCCUGCUUAGUAAAAAGCAAAUAGUUCCAUUCCUUCGAUGGAAAGUUCUCGAAGAGCUCUAUCAUCUCGGUCUCACGCUCUUCUGAAAUAUCACCAAAGUCAGCAGAAACCACUUCGCUCGUGGUCCAGUCCGGCAGAGAGGCAAUCUCGGGUCCCUUAACGAAAAACCAUCCCUUAUGUCAUCCCCUGUUGCUCGAAUGGGUAUUCACUAGAGAUCGUCUCUCAAACUUUUAACCAGUCUUCGAUGUAUGCUUACCUAAAACUUUAAAUCCCUUUUCUCGGGUUUGGCUGACCUUGUAAACGGUGAAGAAGAAAUCUAGAGAAGGCUCCACCCCGACUUCGUGGCAGAAGGCGAUGAAGGCUAGAAUAUGAAUGUAGGAGUUCGGUACCAAUUGGGAGAACCCAACACCAAUAAACCCUAAGAGGGUUAUUACGAACACGUGAAGAGGAAACCAAAUCCCCUUAUACAUGAUAGAUACAGGAAUAGCCGUCCAUCCCUCUGGUCGCUUAUACAUCCUUUCUCCAGCCCGUGGAACUCUUACCUAAUGGGUGCCCGGAAUGGAAUACUUGGUUUGAAUACUCUUCAGCCCUGCCUCGGUCAUAUCGGAAGGAGUAUUGGCGUGAGAGAAACGAUCUUUGUUUCUGAAGUAUUUAGAAGGAGUAGGGAUAGGUUUUUGGGGUGGGUUCUUGCUCGAAGUAGUGACAUUGGGGUUAGAACUUGAAGCCUUUUCUUUAUUGGGGUUUGGAUUUGGGGCAACGGUAGUGAUUGGAGUGACAAGGAUAGGAGAGCCCUGCUCGAAGUCUGGGGACGCCAUUGUUGAGAUUUCGCAAAGAAACAGAGAAAGAAUCGAAAGAGAAGAAGAGAGCUCAAAGGUCCGAAAAUUCAAAUUAGCAAGUAAAACUGUCAAAUUUAGUAAAGUUUAUCUUUUAUACUUACGGUUACACGAGUUACAAAGGCGGCACAUUUAAUUCCUGGCAAUGAUGAGAAUUCGAAUGGGAAAGGUCCGGGUCAAUCCUUAGAUAUUUUAUCAGAUUGGGCUUUUCGGUUAAAUUUCCGGUUUUUAGUCCAUCUUUCUCAAAUUCAACCCUAUUGUUUGGGCCUUUUACGUUGGAUAUUCAGCCAUCCUGUCUCCUCUUAUGGACUAAAUCGGGUAUGUCUCAAUUACUCCCUGUUAUAGGCCUUUAGUAAAAUAUCAUGGACCAUUUAUAGUUUUCUAUUAAAAAUUCUGUUAAAUAAAAAACUAGGGGGCAAUGUUGAGUCAUGAUAUUUUCUUCUAUUUGGGCCAAAUGAAUUGGGGUCACUUAUUUAAUUAGUCUAUUGGGCCUUCAUUAUUGAACCUUGAAAGUCAUUGGGCCUAGUCAUUAUAUUAUUUCUAUUAAAAUCUUAUGAGACCGGGUCGGUUCAUUAUACUAACCCAUUAGAUAUUUUAAUAUUUAUUACUUUGACUUGUAAUGAUGGAAAAACAUGAUAGUUGACUGCUGUAACUGCCAUGCAUUAAUGUGGAUGAAAUCAUAGCCGGUCGGCGGUAGAAAACAGUGACCAAAGGUAGUGGAUAGACUGCAUGCAGUCGGCAGAACCCAUCAGAUCAGGGGGCUGUGUCAGAUAGUAGUGGGUGGCACGGUAAUCCGGGCAAAGAGAGUAUAACCUAGCAAGGAAGUCUUCACAAAGAGGUACGUUCACAUACACACACGAUUGAGAAUUAUCAUCUCUCUCAAUACACUAGACAAUUAUUAUCCUCCAUUGUUAACCUCGUGAAUAUGUAUACUGACUCUCACGCCUGAGCUAUCCCCCGACGGUCGAAGCCGUCAAGCUUGUGGUGUUUAUCGUGUUUACUGUGCAGGAUCAGGACAUCUUACGUGAUUGGGACGUGGCAGCAAAUCUUGACGUUAACAAUAUCUAUUAUAAUUAAUAUUUCAUCUGUUCAACAUUAUUUUUCCAAGACGCAUACGUAUUACUUGGUCAGCAAGUAAAGGCCAUAAAUACGCGUCGACUGUUUUGAGGAUACUUAGUUAUUGAGCUUUAAUUUUGGUUUCCUUAACACUACUGUUAAAUUUAAAUUGUUCAAUGAUAAAAAAGAGAGAGAGAAAAAGCAAACAGGUCAUAGCCGGUGGACAUGUCCGUCAAAAAUGACCCUAUGUCCGUCAGCAUUGAUCUCAUUCUCAAUGGACACGUCUAUCGUGCGCACCGUUGCCCCAAGUGUCAUUGUCCCGUAUCCCCGUCGACUGCCGUCAGUAUUGAGUUCAUUAGCGACGACAGACAGUCCGUCGGCAUUGACUCGUUAGUGACAAACUAAUAACUCUUUUAAUAAUUAAAUUAAAAAUGUCAUAGGCGACGACAAUGAGUUAUUUUAUUAAUUAAAUUAAAUAAUCAUUCCUGAUGGCAAGUCUGUGAGAACAACUUUUAUCAAACACCCUACCCGCAGACUGCAUUCAUAUGCUUACAAUUUACAAAUAUUGAGGAUUAUUCAAAGUUGUGUCAAAAAAAGUUGUGUCAAAAAAAGUCCCAAGUGACAUGCUCCAAAAGGAGUUCCCUUUUAGCUUUUUCCCCAUUUCAACAGCAGUUGAUAAUUGAUCCAGUUGGUCAAAUCAUCAAACAAACAAACUACUAUAUUAAAAACACCAAAGAACAUGCUAAAAGUAAAUGACAAAAAUAGUUAUAUAUAUAUACAGAUUGGUUUAUUCCAACUACUGCAAAUCAGCAUCAAAGAAAAUGGGUGCACCAGAAAAAAAAGAGGCUGUCUUCAAUUAUUUUGCAGUUGUUCUGUCUUCAACAACCUUCCAUUUGCACCCUAAAAACAAAACAAAUCCUCUUAUUUACUCCUCUCUCACACACAAAAAUACACAUCAUAUAUUCUCAAUGAGCUAGGGAGAGGGGGUUGUGAGAUACACCCUGUGGGAAUCAUGAUUCUACUUUUUGUAAUCUCCAAAUGGUUUUAUUUUAUUUUUAUUUGUUACACUUUUAUAUUCUUUUACUUUUUACGUUAACUAUAUGAAAUUGAUAGUUCCACAUUAUUUUUUGAUAUUUUCACACGUAGGGCCCACAUAUUAGCUUGUUUUUGAUAUGCAUCUUAAAACAAGUUUUUCAAGCCUAAAAUGAUAUAUUCUUUUUGGCUGCAGGCAAUGAAUAUAGUAGAUUUUAUUACUUGUUUGAUUUGAUAUAUUAUGAUCUAACUCAUUCUUAAUCAAAAGUUCUUUUUUUGCCAUUUUAAAGUUUUUUGAGCUCUUCUAUGCAGACAUAAUAAUUGAAUAUGGAAAUUGGACAUGAGCGUUUUAAAAUUUUACUUAUUUGUAUUUUUAUCCCCAUUAAGAGUCAAAAUACAAAUAGAUGUCAUGUCUGCAUAGAGUUUUUCGUAACUCAAACACAAAAUCUUAAUUCGAUUUGAUUUUUAUCACAAAGUUAUCACUAGAGCUAGAUACUAAAGAUUAAACUUUUUUAUAAAUAUUUCCUAAUUUCUAUCUUUAUCUCUUCCUCAUGUUUCUCCUAUAAUUAUAUGCCCUAAAAAAUAAAUUGUAAUAAUAAGCCACUCAAUAAUAAUAUAAAAUAAUUAAAUAAUAAUAAUGAUUAAAAAAAGUAAUUGCGGCCAAAAAAAUAAAAUAACAAAAGUAUAAGGACUUAAAAAAAAGUAAUUUCAACCAAAAAAAUUAAAUUAACAAAAGUAUAAGGACUCAAUUACAAUAAGAUGGAUCUUCAGGCCCCAAAGGCCCAUUCAAAGUCCAGGUGAACUUAUGAUUUGGGAAGUACAGAAGAAGCAAGGCACCAUUUUCAAGAAAAAUUGAACCUAUUCCUCCCCUUUUUCCUCUUCAAUUCUCUGUGAUUUCAUUCAGCCUACCCUAUUAACUUAACUUGCACAUCUCUCAUCAGAGCCCUUGAAAUCACAAACCCAGCAGCCAAUAAAUUCUCGGCCGUCCGAUAUGAUUCAGCUACUAUUCAGUCUGAUAUUCGUGGAGAUGGGUCUGAUCGUGAUGUUCGUGUUCAAGACUCCUCUGAGGAAGUUGGUUAUCAUGGGAUUGGAUCGGCUUAAAAGGGGUCGGGGCCCAAUUGUGGUGAAGACUGUUGCGGGCACCGUUUUCGUGGUGAUGAUGUCCAGUCUUUACAAUGUGAUGAAGAUCCAGAAGCUUUGGAUCGAAGAUGGUGAGUAUGUUAAUCCGACGGAUCAGGUUCUUUCGGCCCAGCACCUACUCGAAACUUCUCUCAUGGGUAACAAUCAAUUUCUCUCCCCUCUGUCUCUUAAAAAAAAAAAUAUACAUAUAUUGGCAUGUUUAUAGUAUAUGUUUGCACAAUUAUAUGUCAUCUAUGGUUGUUUGAAUUGAUUAAAGUAUUGAAUGGACAAAAUUUUAUUUAGUUUGGUUUAAAUUAUUUGGUUUUGCUUUGGAAUUGGGAAGGAUCUUUAUAAAUACUUUAGCCUUUAUUUGGAUGCUGGAAAGUAGAAGUGAAUGGAAAGAAACUGUAAAGGAAAAAAAGAAGGAACUUUCUUAAUAAACUUGGUACAAUUAUAUGUAUGUUUGAAAAAUCUAAUAUUAGAGAUAAUGUUAAAAUUAAGUGUAUUGAAUGGUUGAUAAAACUCGUUUAAGUUCUAACAUUUCUAUGUUUUCCCCCAUCUUUUUGAUUUUGAAAAGAAGGGUUAUUCACAUAUUCUUCGGUAAAUAGUUUCAAAAGUAACACUUAAACACUUGUACUAUUGAGGCUAAGGGAGUGUUUGUUUAUAGUUGAAGUAUUGAAUCGGUCAGCCAUUCAGUGCGUUUGUUUUGAAUAAAAAUCGUCUGAAUGGCUGAAUCGGUCAGAUUUUUGGGUUGAAUGGCCAAGCGUAAUUUUUUUGGUUGAAUGACUGGUGAAUGAAGUAUUUAUAUUUAAUUUUUUUUACAAUAUUAACUAUUAUAUUAAGUAAUAUUAAAUAAAUUUUCAACAAUUUUGAAUUUCUUCAUAGGGGUAAAAUAAUAAAAAUUUGUUAUUCAGAUGUUAUGUCAAUUAUCAAACAAUUUUUUUCAUUCAGUGUUCAGAAUUCUGCUUCAUUCAGCUUAUUCAAAUUACUUAAACAUUCAAAACUAUUUCAUUCAGUUUUAUCAAACAUCCCCUAAGUGAAACUGUUACUGUGUUACAUUUUUCAUCCAAAUUGACCACGCGCGUGUGCCAUUCUCUAAAUGUGUGUGAAAACCCACUAAAAUUGUAAAAUUUUGAAAUAAAUAUCUAAAAUUCCCAUACCCACUCUCUCUCAUCAUCUUCCUUCCUAAGUCACCACCACCACCUUCUAUCAAAAGAUUUCCAUAGCCAUCAACAUUUUUUUUAUACUAUAUUUAACAAUAAAUUCUAUUUUACAAUAAACUUGAAACUCAAUUAAUGAUAAUAUACGAGAUCUUGUGACCUAAUUGAAUCUAGAAAUUGAGAAAGAUUACAAGAUGAGAUUGUAGAAUCUUCUAAAUUAAAGAAUUUCCUCUCUUCUGCCAUGUCUCUCCAGAUGAAAAUUACAUGCUGCAAAUUGAAAUUCGAAGAAAACAUGAGAUUUUUUAAAACCCAUUUCAUGUGUAGAAGAGAAAGGGUUUCUUAACAUCUUUCUUCUUCGAUUUUGACCCAAUUACAUUUUAUUAUUUUAUUUUUGCACAUACCCAAUUGCAUUUUCAGCUCCAUUAAUAUUCUACCAAAGACGCAUAAAAGUUUGAAUUUUUUGAGUUUGAUUCAAUGUUUAUUUCUCUGCUAUAUUACCUUUUAUCUUCUUAUAAUUCUAAUUCUCCAUUGAAGUCUCAAGUUUCCUUCAUCAUCUUUUAUGUUUUUAAGGAAUAUUAUACAUUAAUUUGUGGAUAUUUCAAAGCCUCAAUUUGAUUUUUGAAUUUUGGUGUUUUUGGUUAGUUUGAAAUUCAAUUGUAGGUGUUUAAAAAUCAUAUAUUAAGAAGCUGGUGUAAGGAUAAUUGUGAAUGUAUUCAAAGCAUAAUCAAGAAAGAUGUGAGAUUUUGCCAAAGAAAAAUAAAAUAUGGGUUAGUGCUUACUUAGGUAUAGGUGUUUACUGUUUAAGAUUAGGGAUAAGGUUCUUGGGGCCAAAAUGUACUUGCAAACUUCAGUUAACGGAGUUAUGAUGGAAAAUGAGUUUUCACUUGGCCUCGAUAGUAUAGGUUUUUAAGUGUCGAUUUUUGAAACUUAGGUGGUCAUGUGGGAAAACGUGUAAACCUCAGGUGGUUAAAUGAAAUUUACCCCAUAUUCGUAUGUAAAAGUAGGAGUAAGUUUUGUUUAGAGAAAUUUUUUAUGUGGGUUUUGGCUGUUUGUUUGUAAAAUGCUAAAAAGUUUAUAGCUUUAGAAUUGUUGGUAGCUAAUGAUCCCGAAAAAAAGAAAAAAAAAGAAUGUUUUUUUAGUAGCUUCAUACAACAUAUUCCUUUAAUGUAUUGACUGAUGGUUUUUUGAGUUGAAUUUAAAUUGGUGAACUCAUUCCCAUUGAUCUUAGUAACUUGGAUGUUUCUUAUAGAAAACAUAAUGAAAUAUGCUAUGUUGGUAUUGUGAUUAAGGAGUUUUCCUUCAAAAAUGUAUAUUUUCCUUGAGGUGAGUUGUAUAGUUGUAAAAGUUGGCCUAUGUAGGUGUUAGGCUAUGACGCUAUGCUAAUAUUGUAAAUGCUUUUUAUUGAUAAUAUGUUUUAUAUUUUAUAAUAUAUUUCUUAUCGGAAUACCUUGGUUUCUUUAUUCUUCCUUAUCUAGGUUUCAUUUAUCUAUAUAAAAUUUCAUAUUUAUGUUAUUAUGUUUUAUAAUAUAUUCGUAUCACCUUGGUUUCUUUCUUUUGCCUUGCCAAGGUUUCUUUUAUGUUGUAUAAAACUUCAUAUAUAUGUUGUCUCUUCAAGAUCUAAAGGUUAGUUUGAUUGCAACUCAAAUUUGACUUGAUAUUUAAUGCCAGAUAAUCAUGGCAUACUGCAGUGUCUGAACAACCAUAUUUCCUGAAUGGUAUUCUAUUUCUACAUCUGUGAAAUCUCUUCCUUGGGCUCCAGCAUUAGACCACUUAGGAAAGAUAUCUGCUACAUUCCUAGAAAAAUAUGUAUACAUGAAUAUAAUUCAAUGAAUAACUUAGUUGUAAUGGGUAAAUUAUUCUUGUUAAGGUAUAUUUUUUAUUGCAAAAUGAUCUCUGUCACAUGCAUCAUUUAGUAGUGUUAUCCAAUUUCGCAAUCAGUAAAUACGUGCAAGUAUACGCGGUCAACAAGUAAUAUAAUGAUGAGAAAAAUGACGAUCCCACGAGGAUUUAAUACCAAUUUUAUCAAAUCAACCUUAUUUAAACAAAAUGAAAAUUAUUUAAAUUAACAAUUAAACCAAUGAGCAAAGAUUAAUAUCAGAAUGAGCAAAUUUAAGACUACAAUUUCUCCCAACGGUUCAUUCAAAUCUCCCAACUCUCCCUUCAAUUAAUUGACCACCAUGAAUCGUUAACUGAGAAUUUUAAAAUAUUUAUAAACCUCUUCCGAUGGUCAAAUAAAAAUAUCCCUUCUAAAUAAAUCACUAUAUUCCUAUGAGAAAUAUUUUUGAGAGGGAUUCUCACAAUGUUUAUACACGACAUAUAGGUAUAUUCCUAACCUAUAAACAAAUCAUGUUAUUCAAUCCUAAGAAGAAUAAACUAGACACAUGUUAUUAUAUUCAGGUCUAAACGCUAUAAUCCAUUUUCUAAUUUCAUAUAGGUUACCAAAUUAAUCACUGGCCAGGCAAUCAAAAUAUAAAGUGUAAAAUAUGAUAAACAAUUCACAUAUGAUUAACAAUAAUCAAAAUGAGAGUAAUUCAAUUCAAAUUACACGUUGGGUUCCAUUGCAAUCUUAAACUGAAAAUUUAGUUCAUAGCGAAUAAAUAAAACAUCAUUCACAAUUUAGUCAACAUCCUUGGAAUACAAAAUUAAAGGAGAUUAGAGAUGAAAAAUUGUGAUGGUGCAAUCUUCAAUCUCCAAAACUCAGCCUUCAAUUCUUAACCUCCGUCUGUGUUGCUCUCCACUCAGUUCUGUUAUUAUUCUUCAAUUUCUUCCGGCAGCUCCCUUGUGUCCCCCCUUCAUACCAGCCAAAAAAGAGUAUUUAUAUCGUCUUUUCUCAAAACCUAACAGACUUAGUUUUCACCACAAACUGCCAUGCUUCAGCGCCCCAGCUUUGCUCUUAUGUUCCCCGACGCCCCAACGCUCUUCUACCAGCGUCCCAACGCUUUUGACUUAGCAUAAUAGAGUACUCUACGAUUUUGAUGUCACUCUACGAUCAUUUGAUGAAAUAGAGCACUCUACGAUCGUACAGUGAAGAGCGAGCACUCUUCAAACAGUGCCCCAACGCUUCUGGUACUGCUCUUUGACUGAGAUUUGGGCACUUCUACGCCUCUAUUUCCUUAUCCUACACAAUAAGAUUAAAACACAUAAAAGUAACAGGAGAUACUUGAAGAUUCACAAUUUAUCAAGCUAAAGAUAAAUUCUCAAGUAAUAAACCCACUCAUCAAAUACCCCAAACUUGAUUUUUGCUUGUCCUCAAGCAAAACAAUGAUAACAAGAACUAUUAAAAUUAGACUCUACUAAUCACACCAACUUGAGCAAUGAAUUAACUUGAAUUUCAAAAUGGCCUCAAAGAUUUCUUCACAUGAUAACCCUAGAAAAAUUAGAAAACAGUGCAAUGUCUAGGAUUUCAACUUGCUUGCCGGCCAUGCUUUGCUCUUGAUCCUUUUAGUGAAAGUGUGUACCCAUUUGUACCAAACUAAUUAUAGCUCAGAUGAGCUUAUGUAACCAAAUGCUUUACUAAAGAUUUCUAGAGAUGAAUGAAUUUUGAUCCAAAACUCCAUACGCUUGCCUUUUGCAUCACUCUCCACUAAUGUAGACAAGUCAUACUCGAGGAUCAAAAGGAACUAAAUCACCCUUUUUCUCUUGCCAUCUAUAUUUUUUUUUCAGGUGAGUGCAUUUUAUGCUCCAUCUCACUUUAAGAAUAUGUUUAUAAAUGAGUGCGUUUUACGCUCCAUCUCAAUGUAAGCAUGUGUUUAUGAAUGGAUCGUUUUAUGCUCCAUCUCACCCACCACAUGAUUUGCUAUUCAAGCUAGGUUACUUGCAUGGGUGACAAAGAAAGGCUAAAUCAGGCUCAAAAAAGUGACUAGGGAUAUUACAAACUUGAGUAGGCUUGACAAGUUCAAACGAUCCGAAGAAAAGUGCCUAAAUCAUUUCCUCAAUUUAUAUGCCGCCUAGGAUUUCGCCUUGAGUGAUGUUUAAACAAGUUCUAGAGUUUACUGCUAUCUUCCACAAGCAUUCAGUCAUAUAAGCUUUCUCUAAGUGUACAACUGGCUUAUUACAAAUGGGUAUGUGCUCAUAAAUGAAAGGGAUCACAAGCAAUGCGAUAACCAACAAAAAGUCAAGCACACAGACUAAGCAACAUCAAUCAUUUUCUUAUCAUUGGCCAUAGUCCUAUUCAAAUCAAUUCAAUGCUUAAAAAACAUAUCCUAAAAACAAUAAUACCCCUAAAAAAACUAUCUGACAUCGAAAACGCAUAUCAAAACAACACAAAACACAUCAAAACCAAACAAAGACACCCCCAAACUUGAAAUUGACAUUGUCCUCGAUAUAAGCAAUAAAAGAAUGAAAUGCAAAGUACUUUCCUGGUAUUUUGUCAGUUGUUGUCUUCCGCUUCCUCAUCUUUUGCUGCAUUUGGGUGGUACGUUGGAAACACCGGUGGAUUUGGAAACUGGUAGUAAUAGAAGACGAAGACGCAACAAUCUUCAUUUGCUAAGAGGUUCGAAUCCAAAUCAUGACAGUAGCGGAAGUAGACACCAAAAGGAAAUUCGAAGGAUCAGAUGCACUCGGGGUUUUAACGUAGUACGCCUCUACGAGGCCCACUUAACACCCGCUAACACGAGGGCUUAGGCCUCUCCGGUUUCCACCGAAAGGGGAUUUUUUAAAGCUAGGGGAAGGGAUCUUUUUUCUGCAACAGAAAAAAAAAGGAGCAAAUUUGACUCGGCACAACCUAACGAUACAUCCAAUACCAAUGAUCUGUGCCUAGAAUGCCUUGCUAGAUUCCAAUCACCGGUUGGGUUGGUCCAACCAAGAAAGACAUGGAAUUUGGUGGCAUUAAUGAACACAACAUUCGGUCAGCUCUUUCUAUUUAUUUCGCCUUCUCAGGUCUUUGUUUUCUUACGAUAUUCUUUAUUUAACCAAAUCGGGUCUAAGUUAUAGUACAGUUUUUCACAUUUAGGAAAAAAAGAAAGAGCUACUCGCCACAGAGUAGGCCUACUAAGAUAAGAGCAGAUCAUGAACCCAAAAGAAUAGAUACGAUUUCGGGUAAGCCGGAGAGCUUGGCCCGAUCUUACUCGAUAAGGCGAUGGAUCGCGAGAUUGACGAUGCUAUUAUAGCCACUUUUACACUCAUUUUCAAGUGGACGAUCAAUAUGAUGACUUGUUUUCUUUCUUCAGUGGCAUGUUUCGGUCCUCUUCCCCAUUACUUAGAAAGAGUGAGCCACCGGUUCAGGUACAAAAUACUAUCAUUAUCGCCUGGACAAUUAGACAUCCAACCCGUAAUCGCAACGACCCAAUCUGGGUUAUCACAUUUAUUUCCCUUCAAUUUUAUUUGAUUUCAUAUAUCAAAUAGAAAUGCUUCAGUUCGAUGUAUUAUCAAUAUAUUCUUUUUCCCGUACUUGUUAUAUUCUAGUCAAUCGAAUCAGUUGAAUUUUUGUUCAUAUUGAAAUGAAUCGAGAUUGAUAAGGAGGUUUUUAAUUAGAGUUCGAAAAUUGCCCAGAAUCAUUGCAUUCAUUAGAAUAAGUUGAGCUCUUCACAAUGCUUAGUCUAUGAUUUAAUUACCAGUCCUAAACUCAAUUACCAAUCAUUCAGUCGUUUAUCAAGAAAAAGGAACUCGCCUGAACUAGGCUUCGAGACGUUCUAGAUAGACACCUGGUCUUCUAGGAGGACUUUACUCGGGUCUCGCUGGUGUCUUCACCAACGUCGUCACCAAGAGCCUCCCUAGGAACCCUACUGUGACAAUAGCUACUGCGCAUCCCACAUCAGAAAAUGCUAUCGACGAAACAAACCUUUAUCAAGCACAUCACCAUGACCUGGUACAUAUAGCAUAGCAUGUAACCAAAACAAAAAGUAAAUGUUACCAGUUAGACAAAAGACAAGUCGUACGCCCUGUUGCCGCCAGCCCGUAGAAUCUGGUGGGACAGUUUGGUAUCAAGGCCAGAUGCAGGACGUUUCGGACGUAAAUUAGAGGGUAGUGGAAAGUUGAGGGUGUUUGCUAUUGGCUCAGAAUUCUAGUGCUAGUUCCAUUCCCUCGAGGAAGAGAAAGCACAAAUCAAUUACAAUCUGAGUUUAGUAGAGAAGAGGAAUAAAAACGUUGGUUCUUCGUUCCGUCCGUCCCUUCGUAGUCAAAUCUAAUGAUACGCUUUUUUGAUGUUACCCACAAAAUAAAAGGCCUGCUAGGUGAUCGAAAUCCCUCAGGCCCCUAACCCUUGUUUAACAAGAGUCUAGCCCGGUGUAUUGGUUUGCGUAAUCACUCACUUAAAGAGUAGAGGAAUCACUCCAGAAAGGCGAUCAGAACGAACUCUCGACUUACAAUCGGAAUAAUCAGCCCUAUGAUGAGCCAAGAUCGGGGUUGCCUUGCGACAUUUGUUUACAAAUCUCCCUGAACCACCUGUAGCAUGGUUGCGAUCCACCAUGCCCCAUCCUUCUAGUGUACGAGUGCUGCUUUGCUGCUUCUUCGCCUGAGCCCUAUAUUCGUUCAACAGAAGCAAUAAUAAAGAAAGCAAACGAAAAUGUUCGGGAUUUCCUCUAUUCAAUCCUUUUUCUUGUUGUUGCUGGAUAUCUCGUUUGUACACAUUUUCUCUUUGUUUUCCGGGCCUCUAGUGAGUUACAGACAGAGUUUGGAAAGGUCAAAUCUUUGAUGAUUUCAUCAAUGAAGAUUCCAAUAUUCACUUUAGGAAAGCAAUGGAUCUUUAGCUGACAGAUGGAACCCUCGCAAAAACCGAAAGGAGUAUUUACUUCGGGGUAGGCUUAGAGGGUGGUCCCCCUUUCUCGCGUAAAAGCGAUCAAAAUUCGAUCACGCCGCGUUUUACUAGGAAGAAUCGAACCAUGGGAACGAAUCUACAGGGCUAUCCAAAACAUGGAGAAGAAUACUGAAGAGGGACAAAAAACGCCAACCUGGUACUAGGGUUUUAGAUAAAGGUAAGAGGAAAGAGACCUGGUAUGAUGUUCAAGUCAUGGAUUUUGAGGACGAUUGGAACGUGGGCAUAAGGGUCUUUAUGACGCAAUCAAUAAUUCCCUUCAUUUUCAAUUAGGCCUUGCUCUAGCUUCUUUAAGGGUUAUUACUUCCUUGGUAGCUCAACACAUGUACUCUUUACCUAAACAAGACGAAAUUAAAAAAAAAAGGUUCGAGUCCUAAGAAGGGAGACAAAAAGUCCCUGAAUAAGGCAAGCAACUCCUACUCCCCCCUUGUUCCUUUUUGAAUCUAAUUGACAGAUGGAAAGAUCUUAAGUAUUCGACGUUAUCCCAGCUUUUUUCGCAUCCCCUGCUAUUGAAUCUGCAGCACAUUUGCCGGAAAGAGUUAUCCUUAUUGCGCAUAGCCGUCUCUUAUUGGAUUCGUCGGGAUUGACGGGGCUCGAACUCGCAGCUUUCGCCUUGACAGGGUGGUGCUCUGACCAAUUGAACUACAAUCCCAGGGAAAUAAGGGAUCUACGGAACGGAUCAAAUAAUGAGAGAUUUCUAAUCUCGAUUUGAUGGGAGUGCAGUUCCAUUCUUCAAGAAAACGAACUUCAUUCUUGAUAGGGCUAAAGUAGCGCCUUUGCUUUGUUUGUAAUGAAAAGGAAAGAGGUCUUCAGACAUUUUAUCUAGUUCAGGGGGGACUACUUAUCUAUCGAAACCGAAGCCUUGGUGUAGUUCUCAUCAGGAGAUUCAUCGAUCAAUGCAGUUCUGCUUGCAUGUGCUAAGGAAGGUCGGUCUGAAAGGCACUUUGUCGAAGCUGGGAGUUGAUUCAUCUUCCAUUGCCCGAAGAGAAGGUGGUAGUCUUUAAGAAGGACCCGAAGAUUCUCUCAAGUGAUAGCACCUGCUUAUGUCUGAAAUCUUACUAUUUUGGUGUAGAUCCUUGUCCCAUUCUUUCAUCAAAAUCGAAAUGACCAAAACCGAGGAAGAAAGAGAGCUUCUCUCCUUGAUCUCCAAGCACUGAUAUUGAGAGAAGAGCGGAUGGAUGGCCCGUGGGAUUACUUGAGUUAUCCGCUGACCGGAGUGUGGGAUCCGAUUAAGCGUGUGCUCUUUCUUCGCAAGAGUCGAUGCUAAUAAUAUAAUGCAAGACUGCCUUUGUCUCGUCAAUCACGAUGCUAGCGAAGCGUCAUUUCGCAUUGUGUAAGCCACAUGAGGCGGCGGCCUCCUCAGGUAGGAUAUUCCAUACAAAUAUUUUUGAUCCUCAUUUACAAUCAAUCAAACAAGAGCUUUUACCAAGCAACACCGUAAUUGUUUGUGUAGGCAGAAUCUAGUUGCUGAUCAAAAUGCCCGCCCUUAGUAGGAUUUCCAGUAGUAGGUUUUAGGUUGGGAUGCGAAUAGUAGCAUACUUGCUUAGUUACCUUCCUCUUACGUUUUACUAUCAAAGGGCUUUGAAGCUGAUGACGACCUAACUAAAGCAGCAAGAAACGAAACGGAACUGCAUCUAUAUAGAAGGAACUCAACUCUUCGGCUAUUGGAGGUCCUAAUAGCGCCAAUUUCACCACUUCCCUUCUCCUUUUCAUGGAAGUAAAAUAAAAAGAUGAGACUUUCCAUGCAAAAGGCCUGGCUUUUCAUCCAUGGCAAAGGACCCCGACCGCCCCCCUGGAGGUUCAACCCUUUCGCUUCAUCCCUCCGCGUUCCCCUUACUGGAAGAGCUCCGUCUCUCUCUCUCUUCGUUCGUCCAAGACUUCAGUCGUUCGUUCCUCUCUCUCUGCUUGCUUAUGAGCGAAGCGAGCCGCACUCGCCUAUUACGUUUUUCAGCAGCAAGCUACGGUCUAAUGACCCCCUAACCUAGGUUGGGGCGAAAACUCCAAAACUAGGGUUCUUCUCCUUUCUAUUAAAGUCGAGUUACUCCGUUCCCAGAAAUGGGUGUAGAAUCAACUCGCAGAAAUGCCUGGUCAAAGAAGGGCUUGCUAGAACUCUGAAGAAAGGCUUAAAGCAAAGCUUUCUCACCGACUAUAAGGUAUAACAACAGAACUACUAAUAGGAAUGCCAAGAAACCUUUAUACUUGCGCUUUCAAAUGAGAUUUGGGCCCUUCAUCUUUCUGAAUCGAGACCCGGUCUGUAGAAGCUUAUGUCAAGGGCUUAGGGAGCAAAGAUGGAAUGGGCAGGCAAUGUCGGCUUACUUGGGCCCUAGCUUAAGGUUUUUAUUUCCUUGACCACAUAAAUGAAAUAUAUAAUAGUUGUAGUUCGUACCAUCACGCUAUGGUCGAAUGGAUUGGUACCGCCCUUCCACCUAUUUAUCCUGCUAAAAAAGUCCUAUAUCUGAGUCAACUGAACUAGCCGAGAUUUAUGUACACUCGGCUAUCGAUUCUACGAUCGCGAGAAUAGGAACAAGAGGAAUGAAGUAGCUCGCCUAAAAGUAGAGGAACGACUUCAACAAGAGGAACUAAGGAGUAACGCUUUUUUUCGUUCAUUCCAAGGAAGCUGAUUGACAGAGAGAUUCAUCUCCACAGGUUCUCCUUUUAGUAAGAAUCGUAUUUCAAUAUAGGAAAGACUAGUAGAUAACGGUCGAAGCAUAUUCAUCAUACGAGGUUUGAGUUCCAUUUGUUUUGCUUGUGAUGGCGUUCUUUGCUCGCGGAGCUAAAACCAAGGAAACCCGCUUGUUAGAACGAAUGGUUAGGUCUCGCAAGAGACUCUAAUAACUUGCCUCCUCAUACUAGAAGAGAACUUUGACUCUCGUUAUAAGGUCCGGAGCAAGAAUCUGUGAGUUAACACUUCGGAAAGAGGGGUUGCUUGCCUUACCACACCAACCACCUUAGCGCUGGGCUAACUGAAUUCACUUGAAAGAGGGAGACAAAGACGUGAACAUGAAGUGAAGAAGUUCCCCAGAUGUGGGUAUGGGGCACGAACGAAAGAAGAAAAGAAGGCCACAUCCUCAUUUUACUAGAAAACUUGGGUCUAUGUCAAUUAUAUGUCAAUCGAAAGGGUAUUACAAAGUCUUAUCCAGGUCCUAGAAUUUCUUGGAUCUUCUCAUGAGAGAAUCGCGCACAGUUCCCUUUGCUCUGUAGAAAUGGAUGUGAAUGUACGUGAUCUGCUCGGUAUAGUGAUGGAUUUCAUGGCCGACGGUGUGGUUGGAUUAUGUUCAACAGCCCAAGGACUUGGAGCGCAUCUUUUGUUGUUUCCAUUGCUUGAAGUGAUUGUUACGACCACGAAGAAACGACAAAUCCCAACUUACGAAUAUAUAAGAAAUAGGAAUCCGUGUUAUCAAAGGAUUUCCUGCGAUUAUUUCUAGUAUGGAAUGAGUCGAUCAUCCACUUUGGUAUCUUAGACAUGAAAGCUGGAGUCAGACAGGAGGUUGGACUUAGACAGCUAGAGCUAAGAGGAAGGGGCUUGACAUAGGCUUCUAGUAUCGUAAGUAAUGAAAAGUCGAUUAGCAGCGCCUCGUUGAAUGAAAUAGGCCUUCGACCAGGCUACAAAACAAGACUUCUCACGUUUUCGACAAAAAUGCCACUUCCAUUACCUAGGUACCGCUAUAAAUCUGGGCAUAAGAGUCUCAUUUCGACCUUUUCCAUUCAUAGAAGAUGCCAGAGGAUGGAUCCACUCAAUCGGCUGACUAACCUUCAAAACCGGCUUUUAUGCCUUAUUUACAGGGCUACGCGAGUCUCUAAAAGGUCUUCAAAUACUGCUCUAAGCUUUCCGUCUUUCACAGUCAGACUAAGGGAAAUGUGUCGGCUCAUGAAAAGGAGCAAUCUACCGCUCUUCCCUUUCCCUCUGGAUUGUGUUUCAUCCUCAUGGAGAUCGCUCCCUCGCUUGUGUACUUGAGCCCGCUCUAUUCGAUACUGCUUUAUUUCUUUCUUUUCCAUUCUACCAUUUGUUUGACAGCUUAAACUAGGCCCCACUUUAGAUAUGAGCCGCUCUCACUUAUCGACGCAUUAGUAUUUCCAGAUGAACUGGCAUUGAAGCAACUGUGACUCUAGCGGAAUCCACACAUGAGAUCCUAUUCUAUGAAAUUUCUCUCCUCAUCGACGAAAUCUCUUUACUAUAGCUCGAAUCGAAGCUUACCCCUGAACUAAUUGAAGCUUCUUUUCGAAAGUUUCUCGAUCCAAUUUCUCACUUGAAGAAAGAUAGCCAAAGUUCUUAUUAAAUAAGUAAUUAUGAGAAAGUGUUUUCAUUGAGCUGCUCGAUAUCCUGAUCUGCUCCCUAAGGGGCUUCCUCAGGGCUUUAUAGCAUCCAUCAUAGUAUAAAUAACAUGAUAGACAACAAGUAUCAAUAGAAAGACGAUUAAUACUGUUGAAGGUUAUGAAAUAAAAGAUGACAUCCUUGAAACUGAUUUUGCAGAAGCUCUAAGUCUUAUUACAAAUGCUGAGAAUGAGGAUCACCCGUGAAGAGCUAUGGUUAGCUCAUCUGGUAGCUUGCCUUCUUCUUCUUUAAGUUCUAGCUAGCCGGUUGCUGCAACAUAAGGAAAACGUUUAGAAUGGGUAGUUUUUGAGGAUUUAUACUUGGAUGGGGGCUCGACAAAACAGAAUGGGAAUUUAUGACCGACUGAAGCGAUCCACUAAAUCUGCUUCUGAUUUGAGGAACACUUUCUUCUGUAAAUAAGAAAAGGUAUCGGAUUUCACCCCGCCUGAAGUAAGUAUGGAUUUUGGAAUUUCCUAGUUAGUGAUGUAAUAUAGAACAUGUGUUCAUCCCGUCCUCUAGGGGACUGGACUCCACCAAGAGGUUCUUUCUCUCACGUAAUUUCGCCCGCCCGACUCUUCUUUAAAGUUGCAGCUAGAGCGGCGGCAGCAGGAGUCGGUGGAAGAGCGUGUAAGGUGGUUGGGCGCCUCAGAAGUCCAACGGCAAGUGCAACCCCCCUCUAAUUUUUUGUUUUCUUUAUUUGCAUUUUGGGGACUUGUAUUGAAUUUUGUUGUCUCCGAGAAAAAUUCGGGGGGUCGUUUGGGUUGUCCAUUUACUCCGCAAUUUAGACAAAAACAGAAUUGUAAUGUUGGGAUCUUGGGUAGAGACGGGUGAUAUUUUAGUAGUUAAAUUAACGCCCCAAAUGGUGAAAAAAUCAUCGUAUACCCCGGAUGAUAGAUUGUUACGAGCCAUACUUGGCAUUCAGGAUUUCAAAGUUGUUAUUUUAAAUAGCGGGCUUUUGAAUGCAUGACUGAAUUUCUGUAACAAGCUACAUAGCAUAAUCCCGCAAAAAAUUAUGUUCUUCAGCCAUGGUAUCUUGAUUGUGUAUAUCUCGAAAUCUUUCCCUUCGCAGUCUUCGAAAAGUUCUUUCAAUUUCAGGAUCGUAAGGAACUAAUUCCAGACCGUGAGAUUGUCGCAUACAAAAUCAAGAGUACCUGCAAAAGUAGAAAGAAAUACAAGUUUAAAUUAAGAUUAACUUGAUUGAAAUUAAUAUUGGAAUAAAAUUAAAAAAAUAAUUCCCUGACAACACACCAAAAACUUAUUAUCUAAUUUUGCAAUCAAUAAAUACGUGCAAGUAUACACGGUGAACAAGUAAUAUAAUGAUGAGAAAAAUGUCGAUCCCACGAGAAAUUAUCACUAAUAAUUGCCAAAUACCAAAAUUUUAUCAAAUCAACCUUAUUUAAACAAAAUGAUUUAAGCUAAAAAAAUGAAAAUUUUUUAAAUUAAAAAUUAAACCAAGAUUAAUAUUAGUUUAAGACUACAAUUUCCUCCAACGCUUCAUUCAAAUCUCCUAACUCUCCCUUCAAUUAAUUGACCACCAUGAACCGUUAAUCGAGAAUUCUAAAAUAUUUAUAAGGCUCCCAAUGGUUAAAUAAAAAUAACCCUUCUAAAUAAAUCACUAUAUUCCUAUGAAAAAUAUUUUAGAGAGGGAGUCCUUAAAUUCAGAUUCUCACAAUGGUUACACACGGCAUAUAGGUAUAUUCCUAUCUUAUACACAAAUCAUGUUAUUCAAUCCUAAGAAGAAUAAACUAGACGCAUGUUAUCGUCUAAACGUUAUAAUCUAUUUUUCAAUUUCAUAUAGGUUACCAAAUUAGUCACUGGCCAGGCAAUCAAAAUAUAAACAAUUCACAUAUGAUUAAAAGGAGUUUAAUUCAAUUCAAAUUAUACGAUGGGUUCCAUUCAAUCUUCAAUCUCCAAAACUCAGCCUUCAAUUCUUAACCUCCGACCGUGUUGCUCUCCACUCAAUUCUGUUAUUAUUCUUCAAUGUCGUCCAGCAGCUCCCUUGUGUCCCCCCCCACCCCAACCCCAACCCCAACCAGCCAAAAGAGAGUAUUUAUGUCUUUUCUCAAAACCUAACACUUAUUUUCCACCACAAACUGCCAUCAGCGGCCUGGCUUUGCUCUUAUGGCACCCUGACGCUUAGUUUUGCCUUCAAGAGGGCCCAGCACUCUUCGACCAGCGCCCCAGCGCUUUUGACUUAGCAUAAUAGAGCACUCUACGAUUUUGAUGUCACUCGAAAUAGAGCACUCUACUAUCGUAGAGUGAAGUGCGAGCACUCUUCAAACAGCGCCCCAGUGCUUCAAGCACUGCUCUUUGGCUGAGAUUUGGUCACUCCUACGCAUCCUUAUCCUACACAAUAAGAUUAAAACACAUAAAAGUAUCAAGAGAUACUUGAAGAUUUACAAUUUAUCAAGCUAAAGACACUCAAUUCGUAGGUAAUAAAUCAUCAAGUAGUAUGAUCCAAAUUUAUGGAAUGUGGGCGUUGAGCCUAUGUCUUGGACAUUGAAAUGUUUUGCUGACGGAUGUCUCUAUGUGCAUUUGUACAGCUUACCCUGGUUUUUAUAGCACCGCCUUUGUCAUGGCAAUUUACAUUUUACAUUUAUGAAGUCUUAGUCCAACAACUGCCUUCUAGACCACUUUGUAGAAGUUGUAAUUUAACCCAUAAUGUCUUUGCCAGACAAAAUUGUUUGUUCUUUGCUUUGUACAAUUUUCUUUCUUUUUAAACAUUUUGACGUCUACAAUUUGAGUGACAAAUCAUAUGCACGAGGUUGAUAUGUUUAUUGAUAAGUCAAAGGAUUUUGUUUCAACCUUUUCUGGAUAAGUUUUGAGUUACUUAUGAUCUAGGCUUAUGGCUUGUGAAUGAGAAAGUUAUGAUCUAGCUCUCAUUCUGUUGCUGACUUUAGAGCUAAUCACGUGCAGGCUUCUCUCUAUUCCUUGCUUUGAUGAUAGACAGAUUGCACCACUAUAUCAGAGAACUCCGUAUAAGAAGAAAGAGCAUGGAAGCUGUGAAAAAGCAAAACCGAGUAUUUGACGACGGAAAAGCUGGAGGUUCCGAGGAAACCAAAGCUUUGGAAGAAGAGGCUACCAAGUUAAGAGAGAAGUUUAAGCGGCUGGAAUCUGAACUUGAAGCAAAGACAAAAGAGGCAAGUACUGCAGAAGCCAAUGCUGUUGCGUUGAAAAAGCAGUCGGAAGGAUUUCUUCUUGAGUACGACCGUUUGCUAGAGGACAACCAAAACCUUCGGACUCGGUUACAAUCAGUUGACCGGAGAUUGUCGCGAUCUGGUAGCAAGAAGCUUAUGUAAGAAUUAUACUUUUCCUUCCAUUUUUGUGGAAUUUAUUGUUGAAUACAGUGACUUGAUUGCUGAAAAUAGCUUGUUAGUUGGGCAUUAUAAGAGAAACUGGAAUAGAAGAAUUUAAAAGAAAGUAGCAAUACAUUUGUGUAGUUAACUUUUGUGUGAUUUAAUGCAGUAGAGCCAAGUCAAGUCUGAAGUUGAAUACUUUCUUCUAACAGAUAUGGGACUAGUUAUUAUAAUAUGGGAAAUGAUUUAUCAAGCAUGAAAUUUUAAACGAUAAUAUAGAAUAAUUUAAGGCGAGGGACAUUCUUAAUUCAUACAUAUCCAUGUAUGCGCACGUAGGUCACUAUUUACUAUGGACACAAAUUUGUUGUCCAUAUUAAUUCUAAUAUUAAUUUUGUAUUGUUUUGUAUAUUAAUUUUAAUACUGCAAAUUAAUUAAUUAAAAAUUCAAAAAAACAAGAUAAAUUUUUAAACGGUAAUAAUCUAUUCAACCCCAUUAUUAUUGAACUUUCACUUCAGUGUAGUCAACCCCAUAUUGUUGUGUGUAUCCUUUCGCUACAAGCCAAGCUUUGUGCUUUUCUAUUUCUCCAUUUUCAUUUAACUUGGUCUUAUAAACCCACUUCACUCCGAUUGUCUUUCCUUCCUUAAGGUAAUUCUGUUAAUUCCCAAGUGCCAUUUUUCUUUGUUGUUUCCAUUUCCACAUCUAUUGAUGUCCUCCAUUUCUCACUUUUAACUGCUUCUUCAAAAUAAAUAGGAUCAAUAGCUGCAACCAUGGCAAGUUGAACUUCAUUUUCUUCCUCCAAAAAACUUUCUCCAGUUUCAUGAUUUCUCAUCCUAACAGGUGGUCUGCGAUUUCUUGUGGCAAGUUGAGAAUCUGUUUCAGCAACACCAUCAUCUUCAUUUACUUCUACAUUUUUUCUACAUCAGCAUCAACAUUGGAUUCAUUUUCUUCUUCAUUUACAAUUACUUCUUUUGCAGAAUCACCCCAUUCCAAAUCACAUAUAAUACUUGUUUCAUACUUCUUAUCUUAUCCCAAUCUCAGUGCUUGUCUUCUUCGAAUACAACAUCUCUACUGAUAAUAAUAUUUUGCGAAACUGAAUUAUAAAGUCUGUAAGCCUUCGAUUCUUCACUAACUCCCAACAAAACACUACUAAAACUCUUGUCAUCCAGCUUAGUUCUCUUCUUGUCAGGAAUACGAACACGAGAAAUGCAUCCAAAAACCCUAAAAUAAUCAACUGAGGGCUUAACUUUACCCCAAGCUUUUUCCGGAGUCUUGUUUUGAACUGCAAAAGUUGGACUUCUAUUCAGAACAUGCACGGUCCAAUUUACUGCUUCAGUUGGGAAUUUUCUUUGCUGCCAACACCAUUCUGAUGUGGUGUAUAUGGUGUCGUUAACUGUUGUUGUAUGCCAUUUACAUCACAGAAAAUUACAAAUUCUUGGGAUGUAAACUCACCUCCUCAAUCAGUUCGCAAGCGUUUCAUAAAAGAACUAGAAUUUCCUUCACAACAGGAGUCUUAAAAUUCUUGAAAACAGUCGAGGCAUUUGAUUUUUCUACCAAAAAAUAAACCCAUGUUUUUCUACUAAAAUCAUCAGUGAAAGUAAGUAUGUACCUUUUGUUGCUAUUGAAGAUGGGUGUAAUGGGUCCACAAAUGUCUGCAAAGAAUCUUUGCAGCUCGCCAGGUACUACUGCUUUUUGGAAAUGAAUCCCUUUGUUGUUUCCUACCAAGCAAUCCUUGCAUAACUUGGAGGGAGGGUGAAGUUGUGGUAUUCCAUUUACCAUUUACUUUUGCUGAAGAGUCUUUAAACCUUUAAAACUCAAAUAUCUAUACCGAUGCUAAAGCUGCACAAUAUCUUAUGUGAUUGUGUUGAAAACAAGAUGAUGCUUUAGGCUGAAAUAAAGCAUGCAAGACAAACAUUCGAUUUGACAACAUUUUCGAAUGCAUAAUCAAACCUUUUUGUGAAUGGAACACCUUACACUUGCCAUGCUGAAAUAAUAUGUAAUAUAUAUAAAUAAUAUAAUUUUAUUUUAUUAAGAGUUCAUAAGUUGAGAAAUUCUAGCUCCCAAAACUUUUUUAUGCAUUAACGUACUUGUAUCCAGCUUCUAGCUUUUAGUAGCUUUUGAACCAAAAAACUGAAACAAACACCACUCAUGUAGCUUCCGAAGCCAGAAGUAGGCAAGAAAAAGCUGAAAAAAACGGGGCUAUAAUAGCUCACUUGGAGCUGACUGACAUUGCAAAACCGAUAAAAAUGAAGACUAGUGCAGCAAUCAUGUAAAAUGCCAAGUACAUUAUCCAACUGUCAAAAUUUCAGUUACGAGCAAAAUCAUCCAGGCGAAAGAAACGUUUAAAACACAUGAAAAAGCAAACCCACUAUUACCAGAACAAUAAAAUGUAUUUGAUCGACAUAUAUACCUAACAGUCUAAUAUUAUUACCUGCAAUCCUUCAUAUAUGGAUAAAAGUAACAGCUCGAAAAUAUUUACAUCAAGUGUUUAGUGGCUUCAGUCAUCACCAUUUGUAGACAGUUUGUUCUAGUCAGUCAAAGUAUUUCAAAAGAAAGAAAGAAAAGGAACUAAUAGGAGCCAAUGGCCACAUUCAUUUAUGCUGCUUUUGCAAAUCCAACUCUUCCAUAGCCAUGAUCGAAUACAGUGUGAUAGUAGCCCAUAAAGACGUCUCCCAAGAUCCUGCGAUUAGAUCGACACUUGGGUUACGUACGCAAAAAGAGGGAAAACACCAUAAAAAUGGAAAGUAAAAAUCACCGAAAUAAAUCAAGAGGAAAAGAAGUAUACCAAAGAGGUCCACGAGGAGGCGGAACAUCCAAAGCAGUGAAGCCACUAAUGCAUUGAGCAGCCACUCCCUCACCCACUUUGAGUAUGUACUAUUUACACAUCCAAAAAAAAAACUGAAUCAGUACCAUGAUAUAUCAAGUUUAUACCUUUUCUAAAAGUAAAAUGCAAACGACUCAAACGCCCCAAAAACUUUCAUUACAAUUAGUCCAAAGAUAUCUCUGGCUCAAAAUACUCAUAGUCGAUGGUCAACAAAUUUCAAAACAUAGACGUGGUAGAAGACAAAGAAGACCAAAAUGGGCCUUGCUAGACUCAUUUCCGAUUUUCACUUAUUUUGAUUAUUUAAAUAAUCUGCUAACUUUAAUUAGCUGUUUGUAUAUCUGAAAGAAGACAAAACAACACAAAAAAAUUGUUUGAGUUAGCUUAUUUGGAGACACUUUUACCUUAAAAGCCUGAAUCACAAUCUUGAUUCUAAAAAUCUAAAAAAGUAACUUCACUUGAUUUUCCGAUUUGCCAUAAUCUUAUCAUUUCGACUUAUAAAUUGAUCUAAACACCUGAAGUUUGCUUUUUAAUUCUGAAAAGAAAUAAUUAGCUUCUAAAGACCCAAUUCAAACAGGCUCAAAUAUUGUACUCCGCUCAUUGUCCCAAUCAAAAGACAUAAUUCAGUGUCCUCCCUCAUAGCGAACGAAAUAUAUAUGUUAGUCGAUAUUCUAGAAGGAUUCUAGGAUAUUAUUCUAUUGCAUGAUUUGGGUGAUUGCAUGAUUAGAGGGAUUGCAUAACUACGGGAUGUGAUUGAUUUACUUUCCAAAUGUACUGCAGCUCUAAGCCAAUAUAAAAGAUCUCUAUUAUACAUUGCAUAAUAUAAUAGAAAACAUAUUCCCUUAUUUCUUCACAAUAUAUAUAUAUAUAUAUAGUAAAAGACAUCUUAGGUCGAUCUAAGAUAAGUUAUUUUAGGUCAAUUCCAAUACAACAUCAUUUAACGGUACGGAUGUAAUGGACAUGAAAAAAAAUGACAUUAUGUAAAAUUUCGUUUGAUUUGAGGUUAUGCAUCAGCAACUUUAUAAUAAUAAAAAUUAAUAAAAAUCUAAGCUAUCGAAAUAUAUACUUACAUAUAAAUAUAUAUAUAUAUAUAUAUAUAUAUAUAGGAUUAGCGAAGGAAAAAACUAUAAGUAUGGUUGUCAUGUCUGUAAUUUCUGCUUUUCACUUCCCUAUUCCUUUUUAUAGGAAUGUGUUCGACAGGCGAUCCCUCAAAUAAUCUAACCGUUUGCACUAGAAAACCAUGCUUAUUAGCAGUGGCGAAGCCAGAAAAUAUUAUGAGUGGGGGAGAAAUUAUUACCAAGUUAUAAAUAAUUUGGCGGGGGUUCGACGGCAGCGCCCCCGAGCCAAUUUUUUAAUACUUUAUACUUUUGAAUAUAUAUAUAUAUACUAUAUUACAAUAAAAAUAUAAUGAAUAAUAAUAUAUGGUAUAUAUACACUAUAUUGACUCAUAAUAGAUUUUUUUAAUCACAAUUGUUCAUAAGUAAGUAAUUCAUUAUUUAUUUUUAAAAGUAAUAUAAAUUAGAUUAUUAUUUAGUUCAAAAUAUUAUAGAGAGAUACAUAUAUUGAGAGGAUAUGAGUCAUAUGUGGUUAAAAUUUGAUUAACAAUUUCAGUGUAAAAAGAGUGGGUGCAAAUUUCAAUUGGUGCAAAUUGCUUUGAAACGGGAAAGUGUAUUACCCAAUUUCAGUAAAGUGUAAUACCCAAUUUCAGUGGGUGCAAAUUGACUCUUCUGACCCUCAAAAAAAUCUAUUUAUCAUAUAUUAAAAAAAAAAAAAAAAAAAACCAGUGGGUACAACUGACCCCACUGGCUAACAAGUGGCUUCGCCCCUGCUUAUUAGCUACAGAAGCAUCUUAAUUCUUAGACUACGUUUAUCAAUAAUGAUACAUGAGAUUGGACUAUUUAUACUACUAGUGGUUACUGCACACGCGUUGCGUGAAUAAAUUAUGUGGGUAAAAUAGGAAUUUUAUAAAAUUUAGAGUAAAUAGAAAGAUAGAAAAAUUAAUAUUAAAAGGGACAAAAUAGUAAUAUAUCUAAAGUUGUAAGGGCAAAAGAGUAUAAAGAAAACAAAGAGAGAAAAAAAGAAAAGAGAAAAAGUGUGUCACAAAAUCACCAAACUUGUGGAGGAAGCCUCGUGGAGACUUUAUAAUAUAGAUAUAUACUACUUUAGUAUCAUUAAACACUAUUUUAUCCUGGAUUAAUUAGUCCACGGAUUGACAAUAUUUUUACUCAGUUUGAUAUCUCAAAGGGGUAUUAUAUAGUAAGAGGUACUAAUACUUCAAAAUUCACACGAAAAUUGCCCAAUACCAUCUUAUCUGAAGAGCAUAUGCUCAAUAACUACACAAUAUGAAAGAAUUGGAUACCCCUUUAAAAGCCUAAUGCUGCAUUAAACUAUUCUACAGGGUAAUACACUGACAAUGAGCAUGAUUAAACCUUCCAUAUCCAGUCAACUUGUGUAGCACAUAUUAAGAUUUAAAACUUGCAGAAAAAGGACAAAUGAAUCUUUUAUAAAGUUAGUUGGGAAGCAUAACACAAUAAAGAGGUUAGAUUCGAGUGAAGAAACGAUUUCGUCCCUGGCUUAACAUAACAUGGAAGUCCUUAUAUAAUAGUGACUACGAGUAAGAAUUUUCUAUGAAAAUGUGUGGAAUAUAUUUUAUCUCAUAAUCUGCAAUCUAAGAGGAAGAGAAUUCUUGAUGCAAUGACAACAAUGAUGAUGACAGAAUCUAUAAAUUCCUCACCUAUCAAAGCUUCAUAAAUACUGGUCCUAAGGGGCAAAUUAUGGGCUAUUUUGAUGGACUCAGAUCCUUUCAUGUAGACAAGAAUCACAAUUGAAAUCAUACCUGCUUAGCAGGAAGGGUGAAAACUUUGUCGCCAAUAGUAAAUGAGACACUAGGCAUCGAUGAAAUUUUUGCACAGUCAACACCCGAUUCUCCCAUCGGGCUAGGCAGUCGAUCACAAAGCUGCAAUAUAUCACAAGCUCAGUCAACGUGAACCAUGAAGAACUACUUUUAACUAAUGAAGAAUAUUCACCUUAUUUGUGGUUGUUCCUCUUUCGUUUUAUGGUUAAAAAUAGAAUUAAAUUUAUAACGCACACACUAAUUUCCAUUAGUAUAAUAAAAGGACUGUAAAAAAAGGGGAAUAAAUAUAUGGCAUACCUCAUUAACAUAGUUUAGAAUACGAUCUUGUGUCUGGUUUUGCCUAAGCUGAUUUUGCAUCCACACCACUGUCAUUUCACAAGCAGAGCACAUAGCAUCACGAAACCCAGAUGAUUUGCCACUAUUCUCACCGACUACACUCUUGAUGCCCAUACUGCAUAGAAGAAAUUUAAAGAACCAGUUGGUUAAUUUAGGUACAAAUUUGUACUAGUUAUGCCUUCCUACUUAAGGCAUCCACAACCCGGUUGGUCCCAUCCAAUCUUAUACUAACGGAACCUUCCAUCUUAAUAUUAUUAUUAUAAUGAUUACAGGAAUUUUGAUAAAGCAUUUUGAGAAAGCAACCACACAACCAAAAGUAAUGUGAACUCUAAUGAGCCUGACCUAACACCACGAGUUCCAUCGAAUGUGCACAAUCCAAUUUGGGAGCAUAUCUUCUUUGGUUGUGCCUGUUUUAAUUGAGCUCAACAGGAGAUGUCAAUUUUCAGUGUUAGUGUAUCAGAAUGCGGUAUAACUUAUUUGGCUUAAGAGUUCAAAAUUGUAACGCGCUUAUCAUGUAAUAACCUCAAAUCAAAAUCAGAACAUAAUGUAACAAUUACUACCUCUGUCAAAAGCAAAUCCAUAAUUUUUUGCCCAUAUUGUUCAACCACAGACUUGCAUUCCUGGCUAACAAUACCAGCUGCCCCAAUGGCAUGAUUUAUCAUCGCGAUCACAGUCUACAAAUUUUGGUAAAAGAGAUACGGGGGAGAGAGAAGAGGCAAAAAAUCAAAAAGUAGGAGCAACAGAUGUAAAAUUUGACAAAAUGUGAUCACAGUCUACAAAUUUUGGAAAAAGAGAUACGGGGGAGAGAAAAGAGGCAAAAAAUCAAAAAGUUAGCGACAGAUGUAAAAUUUGACAAAAUGUGAUGCAGUAACCUACUGUUGGACCUGCUAACAAAGAAGUUCCAGAAUCUGCAAUUGCAGAGCAACCUUUAUCACAGUAACCUGCAUGAAAACACAUGCUGAUAUCAGAAGCAAAUGUAAUUUAGCUUUCUUCUUUCUUUCACUUUUAUUUUAUUCUUUUUUUUCUUUUUCUUUUUCUUUUUUUUUGGGGGGGUGGGGGGUGGGGGUUCUGUCCAUUGCUAGUUUAGCCUUAAACACUUCUUUCAUAAUGAAUAGAACUGGAGACUGAUAGAGAGCAUACCAGUUUCUUUCCCAUCAAUGAGAACGUCACCCAUAUUGAACUACCAGUAACAUGAGUAAAGAGUUAGGAGAAGUUGAAUAUAUAACAAACGUAUAUCAGCACUUUGACCUCGAAGGUCAUGAUAAACCAACCUGCCAAUAGCCUUUUUGUGUUACAGGAACAUAAGUGUGUUCGCCCUGGUAAUGAUCUGGAUCUACACCGCCAAACACAAUUUCACCACCUUCUUCUUCCUGCGGGUUUCGGUUAAGCCAAAAUGAAAAGACUGGCUCCUUAACAAGACCUUGAUUCACCAUGUUGUACCUGUAACAUACACAACAGAUCUUAAAUUUUUUUUAUCUUUAACUAAGGCCAUGAGGAUGCUCAAGAAAUAGACUACUUGCUAGAACCAAAAAAAUCAUUUAACUUCUAGUCAAGCAAGCACAUUAUGCUUGCUAAAAGAAAAAUUAUUAGAGACACUUACCAAACAGGGACUGCAUGUCCUACAGAGAUCUCUUGGAAUCCAAGGCCAAGUAUACCAUCAAACUUUGCUGCCAAGAAUGUGAUACCAGGCUCCCUGGUUGCCUCAAUAAAAUCCUGACAAGGUCAAUAUCAUGAGUAAACAAAAUACUAGAUUCAAUUUCGAAAGGGUAACGUUACCGAAGUUACCUGAUUUUUGACAACUAGAUCACCAACUUUGACAUUGUCCUGACUGAAGAAUCCAGAUAUAGCUCCAGUACCAUAGUGAAUAGCAGCAGACGUCCCUGCAUGAUGGAUAAUAUUGGGCAUUCCUCAGAAUAAGCAAUGGCAACAGUUACAUAAUUGGUAUAAAUGUAUCAGACUAAGCCCAUGAGAUUGUAGAAAUUUGAAUCCACAUGGUAAAAAGUCACAAAUACUGUAGUUAUAGCUACACUACUGAUGUUUCAUUGGUUCAUCUCCACCCACAACCUUGAACUCUUUUUAUACAUAAAGGUAGCGUCAAACAAAUUCCAUUACUUGCUUUUCUACAAUCAUAGACAUUUUUAAUCUGUAGACUUUUCUACAGAAUGUUUGCAAAAAAGCAGGUAAUACUUUAUUAAGAAACACAUAUCACAGAGAAUAGAAAUAACAGGAAACUAACACAUGCACACAUUGAAAUCCAAAGUGAAAAAACAGACUGAAUACUAACAUGAAUAGACAGAUGUUGUGGACACAUCAAAACAUACUUGUGCAUCUCUAUCUAUGAAUGCUCUGCAAUAUAAUUUUUUUUAUAUGAAUAUUAUAAUGUAAUGCAUAACAACAUGCACUUAUCCCAAGUUCAUUACUGAGAUUUCUCUUGUCUGGCUUUUGUUUCUUGAAUUUGGUCUAACUUCUUAACAAUUAUAAGUUUAUAAAUUUUCUUUCUGGUCCCUCCAUGUGCCCAAUCCCUCUCAAGUGUAAAAGUGUAGAUUCAAGUCUAAGACUGAGAGUAUCCACUUCGUUUCAGUAUACCAAACUGAACCUGAACUUUCUAUCCAGUCUACCUCUCCCACCACCAUGUAUUAGGAACUCAGAAUGUAAUGGUGUUUCCUAUUUCCUAAACGACAGAAGUCAUCAUUUGUCAAUCAUGGGAGCAAAGUACCCAACAACAGCAAAGGCGCAGACCACUUGCCACUGAAUAUCCUUUUCAAUUUAAGCACAAUAGGUGAAAGUGAUUUGAGCCUCAGUGAAUUUCAUUCAAAUAAUUACGACUUUUUUGUAGUAAUAAGUAUACGUAUUUAAUUGUUAAGGUUCAGCUAAAACUUAAUCGGGAAAAGAAAUUUGACUACUUGUAGAAUCACGCAACUAGUCAUUAAAUGACAGAGACAUUGAUAGUGACAGAGACUGUUCAUUGAUAAUUAUACUAGACCAGGAAUUCAAAAGCAUGUGAGCCCUUAUUUGUCAUUGUUAAUAGCAACAGACUAAAAAUCAUUACAAAACUGGCCACAGAUAGCAAAAGGCACCAUGAUUACUUAAGAACAGAAUUAACCAGUUCCAUUUAUAUGUUGAAGGACAUAGACAAACCAUUUUUCUUGUAGGUGUCUGAUUGGCUUGCCUUAUACUUUGCAUGGAAAAAACACGCGACCUGCGCAAAAAUACAGUUUUAUUAUUUACCAUACUUAUAGACAGGAAGGUUUCACCUGGCUUCUUUUAUUUAGAAACAAGUAUACAGAAACUCACCGAGAAGUGACACUUCGCUGAUGGCACCCAGAGAUUAGAACUGCCAGUGUCAAAAAUCACAGUGAACUUCUGAGUGGGAGUACCAAUACUAAUCUCACCAAAGUACUGAGCAUCCAUGUAGUUUUUUAAUGCUACAAUAUCAGUAUCUUCAGAGUCUCCAAGUUUACCACCGAGAUAAUACUUUCUAAUAGAGGCCUUAGAAUCAAGCCGCCAUGCAAGACGGUUGUUUUGAUCGUAUUUCAUUUUCUUUAGUCCAAUUCUAACCAACCCGUCAUUUGAUGCAGAAAAGACCAGCGGAAGCAAGAGGGACGAAAACAAGAUAGCAAAUGCAAUGGUUUUCAAUUUGGUUCCCAUGUUUACCUAUAACAACAUAUCAAAAAAUCAGAUUUUUUGAAUGAAAGGUAGUGAAACAGUCAAUUUAAUCACAUUUUCCACGAAUUCAAGUAUUACAUGUGCUGAUAGCAAAUUAAUAAUAUGAUCAUCCCUCACAAAUAAGGUUGUGUACGUAUUAUACUUCCUUAUCAAAAUAUCAACCUCCAAUCCAUUAAACAGAUUUCAUCCUUAAAUUAAAUAAACUAGAAUAUAUUUUUGAGGAGUUUAUCUUUAUGGUUCAAAAAAGUUCUAUUUGUGGUGAUUUCAUCUCUGAAAUAGGUGAACUAGACACAUGAUUUUCUAUUCGUAAAUCAAACUGAAGGAAAUUAAACUCCGCAAGCUUCACAGUACACCUAAGAUAAACUAAUCAUACAC
RNAcentral lists this long non-coding RNA (77678 nucleotides) under Panax ginseng (ginseng). RNAcentral describes it as "long non-coding RNA (PGIN_LNC001357)". The stretch from base 1 to 208 matches the Rfam family "Plant small nucleolar RNA U3". The record is from RNAcentral. Lineage: Eukaryota; Viridiplantae; Streptophyta; Magnoliopsida; Apiales; Araliaceae.